GACACUGUACUACUAACCUUCUCUAGAUUUAUGAUAGCCUUGAAGCUGUUGAUGUAUCUCACUAGUAGGGGUCCAGAAAAAUAAUUACUUGAGAGGUCAAAAAUUUGGAUUUUAGAGAAAAAAGGGCUAGACUUGGAGUUAUUGACACACAGGGAACCAUGCAUUUGAUUUGACUUUAGUACAAGAACUUGUAGCUGUGGAAGACUUCCCAACCAAUGAGGAAAUGUAUCAUUGAUCUUGUUGUUACCAAGAUCUAGUACUUCCAGACCUCUACAAUUAAGGAUGGAUGGUGUCAAAGGCCCUCCUAACAGAUUUCCAUUUAAAUUGAAAUUACUCAAUUGGCAUCCCAUUGCAAAUGUUGGAGGAAUCGUCCCAUAGAACUUGUUCUUCUUCAGAUUCAAGAAUUGAAGGCUGUUGCUCAAAUUUCCAAAACACUGCGGAAUUGUUCCACUCAAGUAAUUGUGGGACAAAUCAAGAAUUUGAAGAUAAGUGGCAUUGCAUAUUAAUGAAGAGACCUCUCCAUUGAAACAAUUAUUUGAGAUCAAAAAGACAGUGAUGGUCGAAGCUGGAAUCGGAAGAUUUCCACUGAUCAAAUUGGAGCUUAAGUCAAGAACAUCAAUAUUCUUCCAUGGAAAGUGCUCAGCUUCUGUCAAAGAGUUGUGAAAUACAUUUAAGUAAGUCAAAGAGCCAUUCCCCACCUCUUGCAUCCACUAUGGAAUCUUGCCUUUAAUUUUGUUGCAAGAGAGGUCUAAGCUUUCCAAACUUUUAAGCCCUUUUAAAAAUUGGGGGAAUUCACUAAGAUUGCAAGAUGACAAAAAUAACCAUUCAAGAUUUCCACUGAUCAAAUUGGAGCUUAAGUCAAGAACAUCAAUAUUAUGACGAUAUAUAAGUUUCCCUUUAUUUUUUAAAAAAAAACCUCGUCUCGAGAUAUCGAAAGGUCAUAUCCAAUGAGUUAGGACACAACGUUUUGAAUUCCCGAGAUAAGCUUUAAUUUGAAAUUUUUAUAUUUUAAUUAAAAAAUGAUACUCAGUUACUUAAAUUCAACGAGGAAAAUUGGAGCCCAGUAAGUUAGGGCACAUUCUUCUCGAAAAUCUUGGAUACCGGGUAUUACGUUAUUUUGAAAACCUUUGAAUAAAACGAUUUCUAUACUUUGAUUAAAUGCAACCUUUUAAACGAAUAAAAUGCGAUGGAACAAUAACAUACAACCCGAAGUGAUAAUUCGUAAACUAAAAUAUAUGCUAAUGAUUGACAAGGAAUCAAUGAAUACGAGUAAGCAAUACAAUACAUCAUAUAAGAGCAACAAUCUCAUAUCCCACAUUAUGCAAAUACUAACGUCCAUAUUAGCAAGCUAAAUGAAUUAAAAGUUAAUUAAAGAACAGCAAGCAAAUUAAUGUAAAUCUAAUAUAACAAGCUUUAAAAUAAAAUAAAAAUAAAAAUCAUGAAAGAGAGGAAAGUGCUAAGGGAUAAGAUUGAAGGCCCGUAAUAUGAUCGCAAGACAAAGAAGCACGCUCUGUUAUGGAAAAAGAGUUCUUGAACUGGAUUAAUGAAGAGCAGGAGUGAGAUCCUGAAGAAGAAAAAGAAGCAUAAAGAUGGGGAAAAAAGAGGAAUAGGGAGAGAAAGAGAUAGGAGGCCAUGUUAUGUUUGUAGAGGAAGAAGGAUAGGAAUGGUAUUUAUAGGCAACAAAUAAUACCACAACAUUGGUGUUACAGUCUUUUUUUUCUUUUACAUUGAAAUGCUACAGAUAUUAGAUUUUCAAAAUAUUUGUAUUUUUCACAAUCAUCAACACUUAGUCGUCAUUUUACCAUAUAUUUUUCAUUCUUUUUUUUUUUAACAAAAUCUUGUAUAUCAUUUGGACUCGCUAAACAACUAAAAAAAUAAAGAUUGAUGAGAUUACAAAGUAGAUUGACUUAGUCUUCUUCCCUAUAACAUGUAAAGAAUGUAUGUGUCUAUUCAAUUGCCUGUCAACCAAAGCUUAUUAAUGUGGAAAUUCUUUUCCACACAAAAGAACAAAAUUGUGCUCUAUUCAGCUACGUUUGAGGAAGGAGACGGCUGGAAAUUUAAUCCACCGAUUCCAUAAAAACGUGUAUAUUUAUUUAUAAAUAUAUAUAUAACCUCAUGAUUCAAAUCUAAAAUCUCAUUUGUUAUAAAUUCUUAUAAAUUUAUUUGGGAAUAGUUAUUUUUCAUUCGUUAAUUAUUUCUCUUUUAGCCGUGAAACUUAUAUGGUUCGUUAAAUCGCCCCAAAAAAUGAUAAAAAAGAUUAACAAAACUAGCCCCUACGUGGCUGAUGUUGACCCUUAGUAGUUAAUGGCAACUCCUAUGUAAUUGUUAACAGAUACCACAGCAACAAUGUUUGUUGACGUGACAAUGCCACAUGACCAAUAAUCGUUGUCAUGGUAGUGCCACGCCGUCACCCAUUGAUGACAUAUUAACCUUCGAGUUAAACUCAAAUUGCUCUUUCCUUUGUUAUAAAUUAAGAGUAUAACUAAUUUUGAUAAGAAUAGUUACUUUUCAUUAACUCAGUUUAAAGGACUAUAACACGUAAAGUUUGGUCUAUUGCAGAAUUCACAUGCAAUGCGGGAUAUUUACAUUUUGAAGAAUUCAACACAUAUAUGGGAAUUUUUGUAUUUCCACAAUCAUAAUUUUGUUAGUGAUCAACAACUACUUCCUCCUUACCAUAUAUUUUUCAUUCAUAAAAUUGAUUACUUUUUUUAUCAAAGAAGUAAAAUAAUUAACAUUCUUAAGAUUACAAAGUCUUCUUCCUUAUAACACGUAAAGUUUAGUUCCAAAUAAUUUUCCACAAAAAAAAGACCAUCAAUUGUCGAUUGACUAUACUUUAACUCCAAAAAAAAGACUAAGACUAUCAAUUGUCUAUUGACUACACUUUAACUCGACAAAAAAGGACUAAGACUAAGACUUUCAAUUGUCUAUUGACUUCACACUUGCGGUUGCUUCCUCCUAUCUCUCUCACCCAAACUUAAUUUAGAAGCAAUGGGGAAAUUUUGGACAUUUGGGCCACAAUGAACAAUACUUCCACACCAUUUGCAGUAUUGACUACGUUUACUUGAGGGAAAACAAAGACAUGAAUGCUGGAAAUUUUAACUAGUUUGUACCGUCAAUGAAGCUACGUACCUAAAAGCCUUUUAGGAUAUCAAUUCCUGUAAUUGGAUUAAUCUCAUCGUUGCUGCAAUCUUUUGACAGUGUAAUCGAAUCUUAAAUAUGUUACUCUGCAAUGCUGUUGUAAAAAUUACUCUUAAAAUUGUCGAUAGAUAUAUAGGUUUGGCACAAAAUUAAGAAUACACAAAGGCAGGUUGAAUUAUUCCAUGUUUGAACAUAAAUUCAUAUGGCAAAAGGGCCCAAACCAUACCUUAUGUUCAUGAAUUCUCAUCAUCACAUGUUUAUAAAUGCAUCUCAAAACUUGAAUAAUUGAAUCUUUUGUAAUUCUACAUGUAUUUUUUUUUAUGGUGAGCAGUAUAAUGUUUACUAAAAAUUGAAAUUCAAGAAAGAAGACAUACAUAGUUGCACCAUACAAGUUGUUACACUCGAACUAAACCCUUACAAAUAGUACGAGAUGCAAUGAAAUACAGAGGAAUUGGUACAAUCAUAAAGACAGACACAUACCAAUGCAACUUUUCACCAUAGGAAAAACUUUCUGACAGACUACUAAACAAGAAAUUAUGAAGACACAGCAGAAAUGCUUUGACUUCUUUUGCACCAACUAGAUCCUUCUUCAUCCAUUGAUGCGAUUGCUAUAUUUUGGCUUUCUUCUUCGCCUCUUCUCAUGUUGGUUUUCAACCAAAUUCACAAACCUUUUCACCUUACCGGUUUGGAAAACAACAUAUCCCAUGGCCAUUCCAAACACUACCCCGCAUCCACAACCUAUCAACACCACUAUCCAACCAAAAGCAAUGUUUGCUUUUGAGCCAUCCUUUUCCAGCACAUUUGGAGGUGGUGUCUCAUUGAUGCUGCAACCUUUGGAGACUGGGAAUCCACAUAGUCUCUGUUUCCUUCAUAUGAAUUGUUUCGAAAUGUAUUGACAAUCUGACCAUGGAGUUGAUUUUCAGAAACGUUUAAGAAGAAAAGAAAUGCCGGAUCUGCCAAUAUCUCUGGAAUUAACUCAGUUCAAAUGACCAUAUAACUCGUAAAGUUUGGUCGAAGACUGGCAGCGUCUAUUGACUUCAACUCUUGCUAUUACCUCAAGAAGAAAGACUGCUACAAUUCUAUCUUCUUUAAACCAGCUAUUUAAAAGCAAUAAGGACAUUAAAUCCACCAAUUUAUCUUUGAAGUCAUUCGUCAUGCAGCUCUGCUAUGUACGAUUAUUGGCAAAAAUCUUGAAAGGAGACAACCUCAAAUUUGAAGACAAGAAAUGAGCAAGAACAUGCACCAACGAAGAAUCGAUUAUUGUUUUGUAUUUGGUAAAUACAAUUUGAGUUAAAUAAUCAAGAAUGAUAGUGAAUAAAUAAGGAAAAACAAUGUAGAUUCAGAACCACAAUAAAUCAUAUUAAGCUCAUGAGUUUAUAAUAUAUAUCUCUGCAGCUUGAUUGCCUUGUUAGCUAUAAACAUAACCUGUUAAUUCCAUCAUUAAUACCAUUAGAUAUAUUUUGAUGGGGGAGAUUUUUUAGUAGGAAAACAGUUGAAGUCAUUCAAGAAGACAUAAACAGCUGCAACUACGUAAGAGUUUAACUUUGAGAAUAGAUCCUUACACGUUAUUGAAAUGCCAUACUAAAGAUAAAGACAUAUAGCUAAACGUUAGACACACCAUAAAAAUAUAUAUAGGUAAAGUGAUAGGGUGUGAGUAAGGAGGCCAUGCUAUGUUUUCAAAUAAGAUUAUCAUGGUAUGAAUUAUGAGAACCCUAUUUAUAGGAAGAACAAAACCGAUAUGAAACUAAGAAUAUAGUCCAUUGAUAAUGAAGAAUCUAAGAAAUUUAAUGGAAAUUGUGGAUAAGCAUCGUGUUUUUAUCUCUGAUGGAGAAAAGCUAAGAGUGUGAGGAAGACCAACUGUCAAUGUCACCCAAACCGAAUCUACAAGUCACCACAAUGUACAGUAAUUCAAAGCAGGAAAAGUUCAUAGUUUCAGAGUAAAUAACACUUCAAUGAUUGUAUUAUAGAAAACAUGUGUAUCCUAUAUAUGUUGAACAAUAUUAUCUAACAAACAUAUUUUCCAAAAGACUAGAAAAUUUGUGAUUAAAUGCUAAAGUUACAUAUUUUAUGUAAUUAAAUUGGUUAAUUUAUGAGAGUGCACCACUAAUUUUUCCAUGUUUUUGUUGAAUUUUGUGCAGGGGUGCAAUUUGGGGCUAAAUAGAAGAAAAAGGAAACAAUUGGGCUAGAUUGAAGAGAGAAGCAAAGAAGGAGGGCCAAAACAGAAUUUUUCCAGAUUAAUUAGCUGAAAUUUUUGUUGACUUAGUGGGAGAUUAUUUUGGGAUUUUUUUUUAUAUCAUGGAAUAUUUUUCCUUAAUUUUCUAUACUAGUUGGCUUUUAAUUUAGCAAGGCCACUAGUAUAAAUAGAGGCUACAUUGUUCAUUUUAAUCAUCAAGUCUUGAAUCAAUUCAUAAAUCAAGCUUUCAUCUUUCAAUACAUUCUCUCUUUUCUACUCACAAAUUUAUUUGUUGUUUUUAGUUUCAUUUACUUUCAAUCCAUUAAUUUCCAGCUUGUUACCACUUAAACCAUUUUCAAUUUCUUUUUCAAACUUUCUUUCCAUCUCCAGUAGCUAAUUCACUUUAUUACACCCCCAAAAUUCCAGCCCCCCAAACUAAAUCACGCCACCCAUUCCUUUCACCCAUUUUACCUUAUUUAAUUUAUCCAAUACCAACAUGCCCCAAACCUUAGCCAACUAAAUUCAUUUCCAGCUUUAGGUCGGAAUUAGCCUCGUCAAAACCCGUGAGUUACGAACCCGAGCAAAUUAACUCCUAAAUUUUAGUACUUAUUAUUUCUCCGGAUUAAGAGUAUGAUUUUGUCAACUCACAAAGUCAGAUCAACAUUAAGUUAAAAAAGACGUCGUUUGAUUUAGUGUGGUUAGACGUACAGUUGGAAUUCCAAAAAGAUCGAUUCUAAUCGGUUUUCUGUGAACACAUUGGCGUGCCAAUUGGAGAUUGCUGUUUGGUUCCGUCAAGGGAAGUAGUAACCCGAUUUAAAUGUCCCACGCGGUUGAGGGCAUUGGUUCGAGCUAGGGUUUUCUAGAACGCAAAGCUGCCGGAGUUCUAAAUCACGAACAUUUCGUGGUUGUUCGAUCAGUAAGGGUUAGUUAUUGGACGUUCCAUAACUAAUUUACACAAGGAAGAGUUAGUGUCUGAGGCGUCCUUGGUAGCUAUAACUAGCUUAUUGGAAAAGAGGAGUUCAUCUAAUUUUGAGAAUCGGUUCAAAGACGAGGAAAAUUCGUGCCUAAAGCUGAGCUUAUUCUAAUUAAAUUUUCUUCAUAUUUAUUUAACUAUUUUAAUUAUUCUGUUUUCAACUUUAUCUUUUCACGCAUUUUAUUUAUUUAUUUCAGGUCUUCAAAUUUUAUCCCCCCGAACUUCUUGGGCACGACAACUGCCCCAACAUAAAUCUGGUCAAAAUAGAAACAAUUUGCAGUAAACCCAGUCUCUGAGGGAUCGACCCUACUCCCUAUACUGUUUAAAUCGCAAAUUAGGCGUAGGUUUAUAUUGGUGGAUUCGACACCCAUCAAUUUGUAUGUCAUUUUCUAUUACUUGCAAGAAAACUACAGGGGAAAUUGCAUUUCUAAUUCAUCCAUAGGCUUUAAAUUCAAACAAGAAAAAGGAAAAAGAAUAUAUAUAUAUCAACAGGAAACUUCAAGGAGAGAAAUUUUGUUACAUCAAUUUUCCAGUCAUAUUUAAUCUUUACCCAAAGUUGAUUCUAGAUUAAAUUUGGAAAAAAUUAAAAAAGAGGACAUGUAUUUUUUUUUAUUUUUGAAAAGUAAAGGAUUAUAUCUCAGCCAAAUAAAAAAGUCACAAUGCAAAGCCAAGAGCCAAAGCCAAGCCAAGCACACACUCAACUAGCAGACAUAACUCAUACAGGACCUAGAUGUAUUAUUGAACUCUUAUAUAAAAGACAACUGAAGAUGCAAAGCUUAAUUGUUAAGCUUUUCUGAUGCUUGAUAAGCAUAGUUUUAGUUCAGUUCCGAAAUCUAAACUGCUUUGCUAUGGGAUUAUUUUUAUAAGUACAUUGAGAUCAAUGCAUGCUAUUGCGAUUUAUUAUCUUUGAUGCCAAGGAAAUGACAGAAUUCAAAGACCAAAAGGUUCGAUUACAUACUAGAUCAUGGAUGUAAGCCAAUCUACAACCUCUCUCCUCGACCUCCAUGUGAAACCAGCAUGAUUUGAAUUCUCAGCCGCAUAUACCCUCACAAACUCCUCAGCAACAACAUAAAACAUAUACCUAACACUCCUUUGAGAACCGAUAACUGCACAGACAGAUUCACUAAUGGAAGCCUUCAAGAAAUAUUGAACCACACAAUUACCACACUUCUGUGAAAUAAACUUGUUGGUGCAAAGAGACAACAAUAGACUGUUUUCAAUCUUGCUUGUAUAGCAAGCCUCGAGCCUUGCUGAAGAAACAAACUCAAAAGCAAGAACAGAAACACAUGCGAAUGAAAAACAAAAGAAAUUGAGAGAGAGAGUAUUUUGAAUGAAAAGAGCUGAUAUUUCAUUAACAAAUCCAGAAGGCAUAAUGCCAUUACAUAUAAUAGAUAACAACAACAAAAUGAACAAGUCUUUACCUAAUGACAUACCUAACACCACUAAAUUUACAUUGGAAAUUGUUAAUCAGCUUGCUUAAGUUUCUUUGCUGAUUUUUUCAGUCAAUCAAUCAACAAAAAACAUCAUAAGGUUUACCAACUUAGUUCAACAUGAACUAGAUUACAAAAUAAUAAUUAAAAAUACAAUCAAAACAUAACAAGUAGUUAGGCAACUUUAAGCUCCAGUUUCUGCACUUCAUAGCUCGACUGCUUGCUGCCACUUCUCCUUGCAUGGCCACCUUUGCAUGUCUUGCAUGGGAACUAAAUUCAACACUCCUCCUUAGUUUCCAUGCUAGUGACACCUAAUUGCCUUCUUAAUUUAACAAAUUUAGACACAUUGAGUGCCUUUGUAAAGAUAUCAGCAAUUUGCUCUUCUGAAUUGCAAUGAACCAGCUCGAUUUCAUGAGCUUGCUCCAUCUCCCUUAUGACAUGUAGCUUGAUGUUGAAGUACUUUGCUCUACCAUGAAAGAUAGGAUUCUUUGCAAUUGCAACAGCAGAUUUGUUGUCACAGUAAAUCUCUGUUGCCUUUCCUUGAUUUUGAUUUAAAUCAGCUAGGAUUUUUCUAAGCCAUAUGGCUUGAUUUACAGCAGAUGCAGCAGCAACAUAUUCAGCUUCUGCUGUUGACUGUGCUACCAGACUUUGCUUUUUAGAACUCCAGCAAAACAUGCCUGAGCCAAGACUAAAGGCAUAUCCAGAUGUGCUUCUCAUGUCAUCACAAGAUCCAGCCCAGUCACUAUCAACAUAGCCUAUUAGCUUCAUGUUUAUAGCCCUUUUGAACAAUACACCAUGAUCAAUGGUGCCUUUGAUGUAUCUAAGCACUCUUUUAGCUGCUUGAAAGUGCUGAUCAUUGCAGCAAUUCAUGUAUCUGGAUAGCACACUAACAGCAAACAUGAUAUCGGGUCUUGUUGCAGUCAAAUACAACAGACUACCAAUGAGACUUUUGUACAUAGUCUCGCAAAUUGGUUCACCACUCCCUUGCCUCGAAAGCUUCACUCCAACAGCCAUUGGUGUGCUUGUUGGCUUGCAGUUCUUCAUAGAGAACUUAUCCAGGAUCUUCAUAGUAAAAGAACUCUGACUAAGAAAGAUUCCCUUUGCUGUUUGCUUCACUUCCAUUCCAAGGAAGUAGUUCAUUCUGCCUAAAUCAGACAUUUCAAACAUUUCCAUCAUUUUUCUUUUGAAAUCUUCCAGCAUUCUUCUAUCUCCUCCAGUCACCAAUAAAUCAUCAACAUAGAGUGACAGGAUAAGCUGAGUUUCAGCUUGGUUCUUCUUCACAUACAGUGUUGGUUCACUGAGACUUCUCUCGAAUUCCAAACUGAGCAAGUAAGAAUCAAUUCGAGCAUACCAGGCUCAAGGAGCCUGUUUUAGGCCAUACAAAGCCUUUUUCAGUCUGUACACCUUGUGUUCUUUGCCAGUGACCACAAAUCCUUGAGGCUGUUCGAUGUAGAUCUCUUCUUCCAGGAAACCAUUGAGAAAUGCAGACUUAACAUCAAGCUGAUGAAUGGUCCACUGAUGUUGAGCAGCCAAGGCAACUAUCAUUCUAACUGUGUCAAGCCUGGCUACUGGUGCAAAUGUCUCCAGAUAGUCCAGACCAUACCUUUGGCUAAAACCUUUGACAACAAGCCUGGCUUUUAGCUUGUUCAGACUGUCAUCUGCAUUCUGUUUUGCUCGAUAGACCCAUUUUACUCCAAUGGUCUUCUUUCCAGUAGGUUUAUCAACUAGCUCCCAUGUCUGGUUCUUCUCAAUCAUGUUGAUUUCAUCGACCAUAGCUAGUUUCCAGCCUUCAUCUGCCUCAGCCUCUUCAAAACUGCUAGGUUCUGCUAUUGCAACCUGUGCCCUUUCAUAAAUAUCAUCUAGGGGCCUUGUGCCUCUCACAAGCACAUCAUCAACAUCCAUUUCAGGUCCUAGCUGCUCAAGUUCAGCUUGAUUAGGCACCAGGUCUUCUGAAGCAGCUUCUGGUUCAUUCUUUUCCCAAUUCCAACAAGCCUUCUCAUCGAAGAUGACAUCUCUGCUCACUUGAACUAUGUUUGUCAAAGGAUCCAGCACCCUGUAGCCCUUCUUAACUGAGCUAUAGCCUACUAGAACACCUGGUUGAGCCCUUUCAGAGAGCUUGUCUCUCUUAACUGCUGGUAUUUGUGCAUAACACAGGCAACCAAACACCUUCAGAUGUACCAAGGAAGGCUUGAAACCGGACCAAGCCUCGAAAGGUGUUUUGGAUGCAAGAGCUUUGGUAGGAAGCCUAUUUUGAAGGUAGACAGCAGUGUUUACUGCCUCAGCCCACAUGGUCUUGGGCAGUUUCUUCUCAAACAGCAGGCACCUGGCCAUAUCCAUCAAGCUUCUGUUCUUUCUUUCUGAUACCCCAUUCUGCUGAGGUGUGUAGACAUUUGUAAGCUGGUGUUUGAUACCAGCAUCAUUGCAAAUGGCUUGAAACUGAGCUGAAGUGUACUCAGUGCCAUUGUCUGACCUUAUCGAUUUCAGCUUGCAACCUGUUUCUGUCUCUACAGCAAUUUUAAACUUCACAAACACUUGAGCUACCUCAAACUUGUGUUUUAAGAAGAAAAUCCAGCAAAACCUUGUAAAAUCAUCAAUGAAGAGGAUGAAAUACCUAUUUUUCUUGAGUGAUUCAGUCCUCAUCGGGCCACAUACAUCAGAGUGCACCAGCUGUAGUUUUUUAGUAGCUCUCUAAGCUGAAUUUGUAGGAAAUGGCAGUCUUGCCUGUUUCCCCAUCUGGCAAACUUCACACACAUCAUCAUGCUCCACUGAGCUAGUAAAGUUCUCUGCCAAGCCUUCUUUGGCCAUUCGAGCCAAUGAUCUGAAGUUGGCAUGCCCAAGCCUUUGAUGCCAAAGCUUGGAAUCAUCAACAGAGGCUGUAUAUGCAGACUUUGAGUCAUUUGGCCAGUGUACCUCAAAGCAUUUGUUAGUCAUUGUGACUGUCAUAAGGCUUGAUCCACUUGGAUCAGCAAUGUGGCACUGUUUGUUCUUGAACACAACAGAAUAGCCUUUCUUGAGCAAUUGAGCUAUGCUGAGAAGGUUUCUGUCGAUUUCUGGCACUAACAGCACAUUUGGAAUGAUCUUGUUGCCUGUGGGGGUACAUAUCAGCACCUCUCCUCUUCCUUCAGCCCUUAUGAACUGACCAUUUCCAACCUUGACCUUGGUUUUACAACUUCUAUCCAAGGUUUUAAAUAAGGAGGCAUCUGGUGACAUGUGGUUAGUGCAACCACUGUCCAAUAACCAGCCUUUUGAGCAUUUCUUCUCAGCAGCUAAGAAAGAAACAGCAAAGACCUGCUCUUCUUGAUCACUACUGUCCUCAGCUACUCGAGCUUCAACCUUUGGUUGUUGAAAUUGACUCUGCCUUGACUUGGUUUUAUUUUUGCAAACCCUUUCAACAUGGCCUUUCUUCUUGCAGUGUUGGCAUACUGCAUCUGGCCUGAACCAGCAUCUGUCUUCUGGAUGACCUGGCCUCUUGCAAUGUCUGCAGGGCUGGUCAUUGCUCCUUGCAGUAUCAGGCUUAGGCCUGCUUUUCCAAGGCUUUUUACCUCUUGGAGCAUUGAUGCUCGAGGCUUCUCUGGCCUUGGCAUUGAAUGCACCUUCCUGGUGGUCUUCAGCUCUGCUAGCUCUCCUUUGUUCCUGAGCAUAGAAAGUGUUGAUUAGCUCAGUCAAAGAGAUGGUAGCAAGGUCUCUUGAGUCCUCAAGAGAGGAUAUCUUGGCCUCAUAUCUCUCAGGCAAAGUGGAGAGAACUUUCUCUACUAUCCUUGCCUCAUCAAAGUGCUCACCAAGGAGCCUUAUACUGUUAACCACUGCCAUGAUUCUAUCUGCAUACUGCUUCACUGUUUCUUCUUCCUUCAUCUUCAGGUUCUCAAAAUCCCUUCUCAAAUUCAAUAGCUGUUGUUGCCUUGUUCUCUCAGUGCCUUGAAACUCCUCCUUAAGCUUAUCCCAUGCCUGUUUUGGAGUCUCACAGGCCAUAAUUCUGGUGAAGAUGACAUUUGACACACAAUUCUGAAUGCAGGACAUGGCUUUGUGCCUUUUGGUCCUCUCAUCAGCAUGUUGCCUAAUCUGAGCUACUGUGGGAUUGGCCCUCAGUGGUGCUGGCUCAGCAUCUGUGUUGACAACUUCCCACAGAUCAAAGGCCUGUAGGUAAGUCUUCAUCUUGACCAGCCAUAUGUGAAAGCCUUCUCCAUUGAAGACUAGUGGGGCUGCUGGUGAAAAACUUGAGGAAGACAUUCAGCUUUCUUAGUUUGAUAAAACAGGUCCACUAAGAAUGAAGCUCUAGAUACCAAUUGUUGGUGCAAAUAGACAACAACAGACUGUUUUCAAUCUUGCUUGUAUAGCAAGCCUCGAGCCUUGCUGAAGAAACAAACUCAGAAGCAAGAACAGAAACACAUGCGAAUGAAAAACAAAAGAAAUUGAGAGAGAGAGUAUUUUGAAUGAAAAGAGCUGAUAUUUCAUUAACAAAUCCAGAAGGCAUAAUGCCAUUACAUAUAAUAGAUAACAACAACAAAAUGAACAAGUCUUUACCUAAUGACAUACCUAACACCACUAAAUUUACAUUGGAAAUUGUUAAUCAGCUUGCUUAAGUUUCUUUGCUGAUUUUUUCAGUCAAUCAAUCAACAAAAAACAUCAUAAGGUUUACCAACUUAGUUCAACAUGAACUAGAUUACAAAAUAAUAAUUAAAAAUACAAUCAAAACAUAACAAGUAGUUAGGCAACUUUAAGCUCCAGUUUCUGCACUUCAUAGCUCGACUGCUUGCUGCCACUUCUCCUUGCAUGGCCACCUUUGCAUGUCUUGCAUGGGAACUAAAUUCAACAAAACUCCUUCUGCCACUCGAAACAAUGACCAUUCCAAACAUUUUGAUAGACAAUACACAAUUUGCUUCACUACUUACUCACAUAGCCAAAAAAUAUCCAAUGAAACUGGCAAAGGGUUCUUCCAAAAUGGUACAUUAGCUGCCAAAAAGACAACCACCAUAUAUUCCUUCAUUCAGUAAACAGCUUCAAUAUGGAAAUAAGUUAUUAUCUUAAAAAUGCUUUUUCUACCACAGAAGAAUAAGAACUAGGCAUCUCAGAAAAUUUGCUAAAUUAAUGACUUUGCUCCCUUCAAAAUAAACAAAUGAUUAACUGCAUUAUCCCAAAGAGGUCACCAUCAACCUCCAGUUGAACUUUCAAGGAAUAAUAAUAAAAAAUAGAAGGAAAUAAGGGGGAAAAAACCCAACCAGAACUCAGUAAUAGCUGAGCCUUGAAGAUCUGUAGGUAGUAAGAGAAAAACCCCAUGACGACUAAAGUCCAGGCUUGAAAGAACCAAAAGGGAGCAACAUAUGACUAUGAUUCACUGGACCAAGAGAAUCACCAAUGAAUAAAGGAAAAAGGGUACUUUCCUUUAUACCUAAACAUACAAUAUUUAGCCUCAAAAUGGGAAAAUUUCAGGUUUUCACAAAGGGUUUAAGAAAGAGGGUGAAAGUUAAAGAACUUGUCUUUGUUUUGAUGUGUGGUACACGAGAUAGUGAAGGAAAAUAGAGGUGAGGAAAUAAGAUGGAGUAAGUGCCUAAGUGGUGAAAAAGGAGAGCCUAAAAGAGACAUUUUUGAAGGGUAGUUUAGAAGCUGCAGAGGCUUUGGCAUACAGCAGCUGAUAAUGAGAGAAGACAAACCAGAAAUGUAAGUACGACGACGAUAAAAAUUAAAAAAUUUUAAGAAUUAAUGAAAUAAAAUUUUGUAGCUUAGCGAAUUGGGACGAAGUCCACCAGUGUGAUGCCCAUAGAUCCAUACCUGGGAUUUUUCUAUUUGGGCUAACUUUCUAACUUCUCCCACCAGUCUUAAAACUUUGCAGAUUUUUUCAAUUUGAUCUGGAUUGUAUGAUAACAUAUCACUUUGAGAUUGGAAAAAAAAUUAUUUUUUUUAAAUUAGAGAAAAAAUAAAGAAACUAAAUUUCAAGCAUGCAAAGUACAAAAGAAAGAACUGUAUUAAUAAAAGAUGAGUUACUUCACUCAGAUUGGAGUACCCUUUAAACAAGUUUAUUCUUGUAGAGAAAGAAACUGGAUUUUGAUUUCAUUUGCUGUGGCAAAAUUUUUAAUUUCAACAACAGUAUAACAUAUUGAAAGCCUGCCUACAUCUCGGCAGAAAAAUUUACAAAUUCUUUCAUCAGACAAUUUAAAUGAUGCAAUGCAAAGAUUCAUCAAUGUAUGAUCUUUUUAUCAUAAAUGGCUGUUUUACUGGAAAACUUGAUAUGUACUGUCUUUCACAUUCUUUUGUGCUGAAUGGUCUCUGAAAACUGCAAUCAUCAACUAUAGAUAACCCAUUCCUCAGCGCCGCCAGAGCCGACCUUGUUGUUUCUGUUCUUGAACUUGCCUGUGUCAUCAAAGGCAGUGAGCAUUUAUCAAUGUUAUAAAAAUGGCAUAUCGAAGUCAGAUUUUACUUGACAAUACACAAAUGUAAGAAGAUAAUUCACCUUUGAUACUCUUUAGAACGCUCGAGAAACUCUUUCGCGAUGUCUUUUCUUUAAUAUGAUUGCAAUACUUGUCUGAUAUCAGCCGGACCAUUGUGUUAGUACAAAACUCCGGUAAGGAAAAAAACUCGAACACACGAUCGGAACUCGAAAAGAAAAAGAAGAAAUAGGACAGGCUCCAAGGCGUGUAUCAAGCCACUAUCUUUAAGGUUAUAUUCGCCCCCACUUAUCUUCAGUGUGCAAACGAGUUCCAAGCAAAUUAACCUCGAGGAUACAAUGAAGCCAAUGACUAUUUGCGUUUUGCACUGACGAGAAUAGUCCACUAUACACUAAGUAAUGUAUAACAAAAACUCAAUUUCUACAAAGGAUUUCUGCAGCAAUACUUUAUAGAAUAAUCUAAUAAUAUUAGAAAAUGAAGGAAGAGAAGAAAUAAUAUUAGAAUUUGUUGAUAUGAUUUCCAAAUGAAAUCCCAUUCCUAUUUAUAGGAAUUUUCAUGUCUCUUCAUAGAGACAUCUUUCAAUAGGUGUCUUUAUGAAUAAAUAAAUAAUAAUAAUUAUUCAUUUAAUUUUGUAACUAUUCAAAUAAUAUUUUUUGAAUAGUUAUAAUUCUUUUUUAAAAAAUCAAAUGAUAUAACUUUUGACCAAUGACCAAAAGUUUUAUCUUUUGAUUAAUUACACCCAUUCAUUUAUAGUUAUUGGGAUACUAUAAAUAUUUGAAAAUAUUCCAACAAUCUCCCCCCAUUUUCAAAAUAUUUAGAUUUUGAUAUUCUUGGAAAUCAAUUUGCAUAAAUAAAGGUGUCUUACGAUUGAACCUUCACUUAGUGAAAACAUGUUAAAGUUAAUCGAAAUUGUAUGGUAGACUAAGCUUUGAACCAACUAUUCCAUUUGAUUAAUUGAACACAUCUCACACAAUGAUUUCAACAUCAGUCAAUGCAUAGUAUCUAGGGACACUAUUAUAGCCAUGUGUCUAUGUCCUCUUUUCAUGAGUGCUGUCAGAGCCAAGCCCUUAAGCUCCUAGAAGCGGCCACACUUCCACUCACAUAGGUAGAUCCCAUCAAAAGUGUUCCCGUAAUUAUAACACUCUAACAUAUUUAUGUUAUGGGUCCAUUAAGAGUAAAUUACUCAUCCUUCCCUUAUCAUUACGGGUACCUAGCACUUUAAUCUUAGGAUGGAUUUAUUUAUAGUGCUAACAGUCACAUACUAAUGAUGUACUUUGUCUCAUUGAACUCAAGACUUGACGUUAUACCAAGCAUUGAGUCGAGUUUCCAUCAUGGGUGACUCUAAUUAAUAGGCUUGAGUCCCAUCCCUUUUGAGGUCCUUUUUACUGCAUCUCUAGCAAGACUUUUUGUCAAAGGAUCUGCCAAAUUUUCACUUGACCUCACAUAAUUAAUAGUGAUCACUCCAUCAGAGAUUAAUUGUCGGACAUAACUAUGUCUUAAUCCAAUGUGUCUAGACUUUCCAUUAUAUACUUGGCUAUAUGCCUUUGCUAGAGUAGCCUCACUAUCACAACGGAUAGAAAUAGGUGAAAUUGGCUUAAGCCAUAAACGUACAUCAUAAAGCAAAUUUCUUAACCAUUCUGCUUCUUUAGAUGCAGCGGCUAAUGCAAUAAAUUCUGCUGCCAUGGUGGAAUCAGUAAUACAUGUUUGUUUCUUGGAACCCUAAGAAAUGACUCCUCCACCAAGAAUGAAGAUCCACCCACUAGUAGAUGCAUGAUCUUCCAAACUUGUAAUCCAACUAGCAUCCGAAUACCCUUCUAAAACUGGAGGAUAUCCAUUAUAACACAAUCCAUAGUUAAUAGUUUUCUUUAAGUACCUAAGUACUCUAUUUAAAGCUUGCCAAUGCAAACUACUUGGAUUAUUUGUGUAUCUACUCAAUUUUCCAAUAGCAUAUGCAAUAUCUGGUCUUGUACAAGUCAUUAUGUACAUAAGAAAACCAAUUGACUUGCAUAUUUCAAUUGAUCAAUUUUCCUACCAGCAUUAGAUACUAAUUUUAAUUGAGGAUCCAUGGGUGUAGAUACUGGUAUACAGUUGAAAAUAUCAAACUUUUUAAGCACAUUUUCAAUGUAAUGUGAUUGUGAUAAAGCUAUAGUGCUUUCAUCUCGGGUUAUUUUAAUCCCAAGAAUAACAUCUUCUACACCCAUAUCCUUCAUAGCAAAGUUGUUUGACAAGAAUUUCUUUGUGUUUUCUAUUUGUUCCAAAUCCGUGCCAAAAAUGAGCAUGUCAUCUACAUAUAAGCAAAUUAUAACACCCUUUCCAUUAUCAAAUUUACUAUAUAUGCACUUAUCGGAUUCAUUUAUUUAUAGCCAUUAGCUAAAACAACCUUGUCAAACUUUUGGUGCCAUUGUUUUGGUGCUUGUUUAAGCCCAUAUAAAGAUUUAACAAGCUUACAUACCUUAUGCUCUUGUCCUGGAACAACAAAUCCUUCCGGUUGCUCCAUGUACACUUCCUCUUCCAAUUCACCAUUUAAAAAUGCAGUUUUAACAUCCAUUUGGUGAACAACCAAAUUAUAUAUAGAGGUAAGUGAUAUUAAUAGUCUAAUUGUAGCAAUUCUUGCUACUGGAGCAUAGGUAUCAAAGUAAUCAAUACCUUGUCUUUGUGUAAAACCUUUUGCUACCAACCUUGCUUUAAAUUUAUCAAUGGUUCCAUCGACCUUCAUUUUCUUUUUGAAGAUCCAUUUACAACCUAUUGGUUUGGAACCUGGUGGAAGAUCAACUAAGAUCCAAGUUUGAUUUCCCAUUAUUGAAUCCAUUUCAUCAUUUAUUGCUUCUUUCCAAAAAGUAGAGUCUUGAGAUUUCACUGCUUCUUCAAAUGUAACAGGAUCAGAUUCGGUAUUAUAACAAUAAGGUAUCUUAUUGCAUAUACUUUCACCUUUUCCUUCUAUAAGAAACAUAAUGAAAUCUGGUCAAAAAUCUUUGACCUUUUUAAUCCUCUUACUUCUUCUUAAUUCUUGACAAGAUUCAUCAUUAUUAUCAAUUUGUUUCAAUGGAAUCUCAUUCUCAUUUGAAGAAUGAAUCAAUUGUUGUGGUUGUAAUUGUCUUGAUAUAGAAUUAAAUCUAUUUUCAUCAAAAAUAGCAUCUCUUGAUUCAAUAACCGUAUUAAUUGAAAUUGAAUCAUUUGGUUCAAUUACUAUGAACCUAUAUGCCUUGCUAUUAUGUGCAUAACCUAUAAAUAUGCAUUCAAUUCCUCUUUCACCUAACUUUUUACGUUUAGGUGUUGGAACUUUUACAAUAGCUCUACAACCCCAAACCUUUAAAUAAUUAAGGUUUGGUUUCCUUUUCUUCCAUUGUUCAUAGAGGGUUAUUUUAGUUUCCUUAUUAGGAACUCUAUUCAAUAUAUGACAAGCUGUUAGAACAGCUUCUCCCCAAAAACCCUGUCCAAGACCUGAAUAUGAUAACAUUGAAUUUACCAUUUCAAUCAAGACUCUAUUUUUCCUUUCAGCUACACCAUUUUGUUGUGGUGUGUAAGGGGCUGAAACUUGAUGGACAAUUCCAGUGAGUUCAAAAUAACUUGGAUUAUAGUAUUCUCCACCUCUAUCCGAUCUUAAGCACUUGAUAAAUGAUUCACACUGAAGUUCAACUUCAGAUUUAUAAACUUUAAAUUUAUCAAGCGCUUCAUCUUUUGAAUGCAAUAAAUAUACAUAACAAUAUCUAGAACAAUCAUCAAUAAAAGUAACAAAAUAUUUCUUUCCACCUAAUGUAGGAGUAUUAUGCAAGUCACAUAAAUCACUAUGUAUCAAAUCAAGCAAUUUUGUUUUCCUUUUAACCUUAGGGAAAGGAUUUCUUGUAAUUUUAGUCAACAUACAGGUAUUGCAUUUUUCAAUAUUAUUAUUAAAAACAGGAAUUAAAUCUAAUUUAUACAUGUCAUUCAAUUUUCUAUAAUUCAAAUGACCUAAUCUAUAAUGCCACAAACAAAAUGAUUCAACCAUAUAAGCAGAAAUAGUAUUUUUAUUCUUAUUAAUAAUAUUAAGUUUGAACAUGCUUUCAUACAUAUACCCUUUUUCCCACAAAAAUUCCUCCCUUAGACAAAAUAAACUUAUCUGCCUCAAAAACAAGUUUGAAACCAAACUUAUUCAACAGACUUCCAGACACUAAAUUUUUCCUAACUUCUGGUACAUAAUAUACAUCAUUUAAGGUUAAAACCUUUCCAGAAGUGAAUUGUAGUUCAACAGACCCUUUGCCUUUAAUUUGCGGUGGAAGAAUUUCCCAUGUACAAGACAUUGUCAUUUUCACAUUGUGUGACUUUGUGAACAUGCUUUUGUCUUUGCACACAUGUUUGGUUGCUCCGGUAUCAAUCCACCAUGUAUUAUCAUCUUGUACCAUAUUAAUUUCAGAUAUCAUUGCAACGAACUUUUCGUUAUUAUCAGCCUUAGAAGAUGAUUUCUUCUUUAAAAAUCGAUAUUCAUUCUUGAAAUGUCCCGGCUUUCCACAAUGAUAGCAUGAGCCCUUUUGUUUCUUUUUGAACUUAGGUGCUCUAUCAGCCUGAUUGAACUUUCUUUUGAAUGGUUUAGUAGUCUGUACUUCCUCCGUAACAUGUACUUUGGCAUUUUCAGAAUUUAGGUUCUGAUCUUGUUGUCGAUACUCUUCUUCAAUACGAAGAUGAUUUGCCAAAGCCUCAAGAGAUAUUUCCUCUUUCUUAUGUUUUAGACUUCUUUUAAAGUCUUUCCAAGAUGGAGGAAGUUUGUCUAUUAUAGAGGAUACCACAAUUAUUUCAUCCAUUUUCAUAUCAUAUUGCUUAAAUUGAUUCAACAUCUUUUCAAUAUCACGAAAUUGUUCCAUAACAGAACGACCAUCAACCAUUUGAUAAUUAUUGAAACGACUGACAAGAAAUUUCUUACUUGUAACAUCUUCGGUCAUGUAUCUUGCCUCCAAUUUGUCCCAUAAAUCUUUAGCGGUGACGUCGUUUUGGUAGGUGUCGAACAAACCAUCAGAUAAACCAUUCAAUAUGUGGCCCAUGCACAUGUAAUCAGCAUUGUCCCAUUUUUGUCUUUCUCGGGUUGCAGCAAUAGAUUCGUUUUCAUUCUCUUCAGGUCUUGGAGUAUCCAAAACAUAAGCAAUCUUCAAAGUUGAUAACAAAAAGUGCAUCUUUUUCUGCCAUCGUCGAAAAUUGCCACCAUCAAAACGAUCAAGUUUAACAAAGUUGGAAGCCAACUCCCUUAGUGUUCCACUUUCAUGUGUUGUGGUAGUCAUCAUGAAAUAUAACCUUAAAAUUGUUAGUACAAAACUCCGGUAAGGAAAAAAACUCGAACACACGAUCGGAACUCGAAAAGAAAAAGAAGAAAUAGGACAGGCUCCAAGGCAUGUAUCAAGCCACUAUCUUUAAGGUUAUAUUCGCCCCCACUUAUCUUCAGUGUGCAAACGAGUUCCAAGCAAAUUAACCUCGAGGAUACAAUGAAGCCAAUGACUAUUUGCGUUUUGUACUGACGAGAAUAGUCCACUAUGCACUGAGUAAUGUAUAACAAAAACUCAAUUUCUACAAAGGAUUUCUGCAGCAAUACUUUAUAGAAUAAUCUAAUAAUAUUAGAAAAUGAAGGAAGAGAAGAAAUAGUAUUAGAAUUUGUUGAUAUGAUUUCCAAAUGAAAUCCCAUUCCUAUUUAUAGGAAUUUUCAUGUCUCUUCAUAGAGACAUCUUUCAAUAGGUGUCUUUAUGAAUAAAUAAAUAAUAAUAAUUAUUCAUUUAAUUUUGUAACUAUUCAAAUAAUAUUUUUUGAAUAGUUAUAAUUCUUUUUUAAAAAAUCAAAUGAUAUAACUUUUGACCAAUGACCAAAAGUUUUAUCUUUUGAUUAAUUACACCCAUUCAUUUAUAGUUAUUGGGAUACUAUAAAUAUUUGAAAAUAUUCCAACACAUUGCGGGCUACAUCUGUGAACAAAUCAAAACAAAUGGUACUAUAAUCAACAAAUGAAUAUAGGAAACAUAAAAUUUGAACAAAGGCGAUGUGCAGAGGAAAAAGCAACAACAUAAGACUUACAUUCAAGAAAUGGAAUAAGGUCUAAAAGUGCGGUAUCAUCAGUCUCGACCUUAUAUGGCUUAAUAUGGACACAAUUUUCUGGUUGAAGGCUAGAAUCAAAUGCAUGAGCACUCACAUAUAAAAUCUUGGUUGGAUCCCUGUUUAGCUUUGAAAGAUCCUGCCAACAGGAACUAUUUGUUAACAAUAAGGCUUCUUUUUAAGUAGCAGCUUGUAAAGGCACUGUCUCAUAUAUUAAUUCACAUAGUAUUGUAGAAACUAAGGAGGAGAAAACCAAAAGCAAAAUGUUUUGAAGGGAAGAGAUUGACUAUGACAUGGUAAAAGUAUCAUGGAGGCCCCUAUGUUAGGAGUUAGAUUGCCUUUUGCCCCCUUUACUCAAAAACUGGAUAAAUUAGUCCCUAUAUGUUAGAUUAAAGAGUAAGCUAGACUUUCUGUUAAAAAUUUCAUCCAUUGCUACUGUUAAAAACUGGUGCAGUUGAUAAAAUAACCAAACAGUUACACAUAAUGUGUCACGUGUACCUCAUGCUAAUGUAUAUGGACCAAUUUUUAACAGUAGAAAUGGAUGGAACUUGUAACAGAAGGGCUGGUUUGCUUUUUAAUCUAAUUUACAGGGAUUAAUUUGCCCAUUUUUUUAGUAAAGGGGUGAAAUGCAAUAUGACUCCUAGUAUAAGGGCCUCCAUGGUACUUUUACCACUAUGACAUACUCUAUAAUGCUUGCCAUCCUGAUAUUUAGUAGCACCCCUUGAUAGCCUAUAUCGUAUACAAUGGUUAGUGUCCAACCUUUCACAAGCAGGAUCAACAUACCGCAUAGCCAAAAACAAAAUAAUUAUGAACUUGCAGGCAACAUCAGUUAUAGUAUAUCUGAAAAAGAUAAGGAAAAAAAACUGUUACUUUCAUAUCUAAUUUCUUUAUAGUAUUAGGACAAACUAAACAAUGGAUAUAUCACAUUAUUAAGACUUAGCUAAGGAGCCGCUGAUAUACAUUCAAAUGAUCAAUCAUAAAGGAUGAACUAGGAGGCCUAAUGAUAAAUCAAAAUUACACCUAAACCAGUUAUAUGUCUAAAGGCAAUUGCACAUUAUAUCAAUCAAACAACUAAAAUAAAUAGAGAAAAUCCUUUAAAAUAUUCAAUUUCUAAACAAAAUCAAACUCACAUCAAUAGCAGAUCUUGACAAAGAAACCCAAAAUCACAAAUGAUCCUAUCUUUUUAAAAGGGGAAAAAGAAAACUUACUAUAAGAGAGAUAACCAGCAUAGCCAGUAGUUCCAGUAACACCUGCAAUGAGUCCGUACUUGACAAAGCUCUAAAUUUUCCCUCCCGAAACCUGUGGGGCAACUUUCGGCGCCAGAGGAGGAGGUGUCGACUGAUCGGAGAGAAUGGAUUGUGAAGAACAAUCCAAACUUAAUUUACAAGCAAUGUGGAAAUUUUGGACGUUGCAGUAUUGACUACGUUUACUUGAGGGAAAACAAAGACAUGAAUGCUGGAAAUUUUAACUAGUUUGUACGGUCAAUGAAGCUACCUCGAAUGUUAAAUAUGUUACUCUGCAAUGCCAUUGUAAAUAUGACUGUUAAAUUUGUUGAUAGCGGAAUUGUUCCACUCAAGUUAUUGUGGGACAAAUCAAGAAUUUGAAGAAAAGUGACAUUGCAUGUUAAACAAGAGACCUCUCCAUUGAAACUAUUAUUUGAGAUCAGAAAGACAUUGAUUGUCGAAGCUGGAAUCGGAAGAUUUCCACGGAUCAAAUAGGAGCUUAAGUCAAGAACUACAAUAUUCUUCCAUGGAAAGUGCAAAACUUCUGUCAAAGAGUUGCUGUAAUUGGAUUAAUCUCAUCGUUGCUGCAAUCUUUUGACAAAUCGAAUCUUAAAUAUGUUACUCUGCAACGCUAUUGUAAAUGUUACUCUUAAAUAUUACUCUGUAACUAGAUUGAUGGCUCAAUCUUGUUUUUAACAUUGUUAUGGGUAUUACUACUUUCAUGCUUUGAUACGCGAUACCCUCUUUCUAGGUGACAUUUUUGCUCCUUCCGGGCCACCAUGGGCUCUCUGCAUCACUCACCAACCUCAUUAGAUUCCCCGGGUGCCAUUUGGCCAUCUCAAGUCUCAAAAUAGCAUCAAAAUGCACUCUAAUAAUUUAUUAAUAUAAAGAACUAAAACAAAAUAAAAACACAACAAAGAUAUCUAAAUUGCACGAAAAUAAGCUUUUAAGUGUGAUGGAGAGUCUAAUUUGACAUAUCAAUUAAUGUUUGACUAUCUCCAUCUCACUUUUUAUUAAUUAAGGAAUAUGAAUUAGAAUUAAUAUAAACUUACUAUUUUAACAUUUCAUAAGCAAAAGCUAAAAUAAUAUUGGUCACAUCCCAUAUCUUCAUAUAUAGCUUAUCAGACAAAAGUUAAAACAGCCUUCAGUUCAUCUACAUUCUACAUUCCACGUCGAAUCUGCAAGCAUCAAAUAUUAACCUUUGAACUCCAAAAUAACAACACCAAUUUCCAGCAAUUGCAGAAGAAUGUCCAAUAAUUCCACACAAAUUAACAACAAUUUGCCAGCAUCCACUACAUUCGUAUGAAUUCCACACAAAUUAAGACUGGAAACUCUAACUUGUUCAUACCCUCAAUGAAGCUACCUAAAAGUUAUGAAUUCCACUGCAAAUUUUGUAUUGCUUGGAAUGAAUUGACUGUAAUUUCCUAUUACUUGCCACAAAAUUUUCUUUUACUGCUAACUUGUAAAAAAAUUAUGAAAAUACAACAGAGAUCAUUGAGACAUUUUGUUCUCCUUUCUCCUUUACUGAGCAGUAGCAAAGAUUAUCGAGACUAAAUUGAAAGUCAUGAAAGAAGACAUAAACAACACCACCAUACAAAAUGUUACACUCAAACAAACCAUUACAGAUAGUACGAAAUGCAAUGAAAGACACAGGAAUUGGUACAACAAUAAAGACAGACACAUACCAAUGCAACCCUUCACCAUAGGCAAAACGGUCUACAGAAUAAGAAAUUAUGAAAAUACAACACUAAUUCUUGAACAUCAUUUCCAGUAAUUAGAUCCUUCUUCGUCUAUUGCUUCGAUUGCCUUUCUUUGACUUUCUUCUUCGCCUCAUCUCUUGUUGGUUUUCAACCAAAUUCACCAACCAUUUCGGCUUACCAAUUUGGAAAACAACAUAUCCCACGGACAUUCCGAACACCACUCUGCAUCCAUAACCUAUCAACACCACUUUCCAACCAAAAGCAAUGUUUGAUUUUGAGCCAUCUUUUUCAAGCGCAUUUGGAGGUGCUGGCUCAAUGAUGUUGCAACCUUUCGAGACCGGAAACCCACACAGUCCAUUAUUCCCUUCAUAUGAAUCAUUUCCAAAUGUGUUGAAUUGUUUUCCUUGAGGAAUCUGACCAUGGAGUUGAUUUUCAGCGACAUUGAAGGACGAAAGAAAUGGCAGAUCUGCCAAUCUAUUUGGAAUCGUCCCAGACAACCUGUUUGAAGAUAGGUCCAACCAUUCAAUACUUGUCAAAUUCCCUAUUGAUGUGGGAUACCACCAUUAAGGUUAUUAUGAGAAAGGUUGAGCCCUUUCAGUAAGUUAAGCUUCCCAAAAACCUUUGGAAUACCCCCUUCAAACUGAUUGUUUGAUAGAUCAAUGAUCAUCCACAUGGUGAAAAUUUUCACCAAUUCCAUAUAUUGUCCUUUCAUAACAGUUCCGAUGGAAUAGGUAUAGAAGCCAUUACCUCUCGGAACAUACAUCCCCAUGUACGACAUUGUACUCCCAAUCUUCUCUAGAUUUAUGAUACCCUUGAAGCUGUUGAUGUAUCUCACUGGUAGGGGUCCAGAAAAAUAAUUACUUGAGAGAAAAAAAAUUUGGAUUUUAGAGAAAAAAGGGCUAGACUUGGAGCUAUUGUCACAUAAGGAACCAUGCAUAUGAUUUGACUUCAAUACAAGAACUUGUAGCUGUGGAAGACUUCCCAACCAAUGAGGAAAUGUAUCAUUGAUCUUGUUCUUCUUCAGAUUCAAGAAUUGAAGGCUGUAGCUCAAAUUUUCAAAACAUUGCGGAAUUGUUCCGCUCAAGUUAUUGUGGGACAAAUCACGAAUUUGAAGAAAAGUGACAUUGCAUAUUAAAGAAGAGACCUCUCCAUUGAAACUAUUAUUUGAGAUCAGAAAGACAUUGAUCGUCGAAGCUGGAAUGGGAAGAUUUCCACGGAUCAAAUUGGAGCUUAAGUCAAGAACUGCAAUAUUCUUCCAUGGAAAGUGCUCAACUUCUGUCAAAGAGUUGUGAGAUACAUUUAAGUCAAAGAGCCAUUGCCCACCUCUUGCAUCCACUGUGGAAUCUUGCCUUCAAUUUUGUUGCAAGAGAGGUCCAAGCUUUCCAAACUUUUAAGCCCUUAUAAAAACUGGGGGAAUUCACUAAGAUUGAAAGAUGACAAACGUAAGUCUAUAAGAUUAGACAAUAUAUGGUUAACACAAGAAGUAGUAUUAAAUGUUAAGGAUAGGCUGUUAUAUGAAAGGUCGAGAAGUUUUAGAGUUGGAAGGUUUGAGAACAUGCGAAACUCUAUGACACCACUAAGAUUAUUUGAGGAUAAAAGGAGGUGGGUAAGAUUGAGAAGUUGGAAUAUUGAAGAUGGAAGAGGACCUUGGAGUUUAUUAUUGUUUAACCUUAUCAAUUCUAGUGUUUUGGAUUGGAAUUCUUUGAUAUGCCCACUGAAUUGUUUUUAGAGAGAUCUAUUGUUUAACCACGUUAUUUUUCAGUGACGGAUCGAGAAAUAAAACUUAGGGGGAGCAGGGGCGAAGUUAGAAAAUUAGUUUGGGGUAAUCGAAAUUAAAUUAUAUAUUUUUAUGAUAGUAAAAAUAGAAUUUCGUCAUUUUAAUAGCCUAUAUCUUUAUAAUUUUUAGAGGAUUAAAUUAAUUUUUUAUCAUUUGAGGGGGGCAAAGUGCAAUUUUACCGUUAUUAAUUUAAAAUUUUAUAAAUUAUAAAUGGCCUAAAUUUUAAAAAAAAAAUCAUUUUAGGGGGUUGAGACCCUGUCAGCCCUCUCCCUAGACCCACCCCUAGUCUUUUUGAUACAAUUUGGCAGUUUAAGUACUUAAUUAGUGCAAAAAAAAAAAAACUAGGGGCUCAAUAGCUUUUUUUUGAAAAAGUUUGAGAGCCUUUUUGAUCCAUUUUGGCAGUUCAAAUGCCCAAUUCAGUGCAAGAAAAGAAGUAGGGGCUUAAUUAUUUUUUUUUAAAAAAAGUUUGAGAGCCUUUUUACACCAUUGAACCUUUUUUAUACUAAUUGGUAGACGCGAAGUUAUAAAUAUUUAAUUGUUAAUGUAAUUUUUAGAAUUUCUAAAGAAUAAUAAUAUUUAAAAUCUUAUAAUUUUUUUUAUUUCAUGUGCAUAAAAAACUUAAAUAAAUAAGUGUUUAGAUUUAGAUUAAUCACGCUGUCCAUUUAUUCAUAUUCAUUCUAGAGGUAUAACUUUUAGUUAUUUUAUAUGUUUUUAUAAUUAAAAAUAAUGGUAUAAAAGUCGAUUAAGUUUUAGCUCAAUUGACAUAGACAUUGUUGUUGAGGAGGACCUAUUGGUAGUUCUAGGCAUUGUGUCAAAAUGAACUAUAUUUGAUAAGAACCUAUAAUGAAAUUAAUGUUAAAAAAAUAAUAGUAUAAAAAGCUAAUAUUUUUAUAAAAGUUUCAUUUUUUUUUCAGUUUUUGGAUUUUUCUCAUAUAAAAUUUUAGAAUUGUUUCUUGAAUUUUUAUAGCUUUUCUUAUUAUGAUGUUAUAUAAUUUUAGAUUUUUAUACAUCUUUAAUAUUUUUUUAGUUUUUUAUUGUUUCUCAAAUAAUGCUUGGUUGAUGUAGCUUGCCAAGUGGUAUCGUGUUAUUGGCUGUCAAUUUCAAUAAUAAAAAAAUUUGGAGUUGAUUAGUUAUGAACUAACUCGAUUAAUCAAUUCUAAAUUUAAGUACUAAUUAAGUCCAAAAAAAGUUCAAAUUUCAAUUCAUGCAAGUUGGAUGGCAAUGAAACGGGAUUGGGGUGCGAAUAUUGUCAAAUUCACUAUUGUUUCAUAGUUGAUGUGUUUUGUCCCAUCACUCACCCCCGCUCCACUAUGGAUGUUUAAUUUUGAAAACCACUCACCCCAUGGAUGUUGGAUGCAUCCAUCCCUGCUUCACGUCGUGCCAUUUCAAUUUAAUUUUUAUUAGUUUUUUUAAAAAUAUUUUCAAUUUUUUUUUAAUUUUAAAAUAUUUUCAAUCUUUUUAAAACUUAUAAAUAUUUAAACAUAAUUAUUCAAGAAAAACAUUUAAACAUAAAACAUAUGAGUUUUUUAUAACAUAUUUUUACCCUUUAAUAGUUAUAAAUAUACAAGGGUCGAAUAGUAAUUUCAAAUAGUGAAAUAGAGUGGAUUGGGACAAACAAUUACCAUAACUGCUACACUUAAUCAUCGUAAAAAAAAAAAAAAAAAAUCUAUUUCAUCCCCGCCCAUAUUCCCUUUUAAAAGGAUCUACUCUAAAUGAAACAAACCAAUUCAAAAUCCAUUUAACAUCCUAAAUUCUAAAACUAAUUUUGAUAUGAAGUCUCAAUUAAAUUCAAGUAAUAAGGUUUUUUGAUAUGGUUUACACUACUAACUUCUAUAUGAAAACAACAACCAUUUCCCAUGAUGUUUGCGGCUUACCAACAAAUCCUUGCAGAUUUUCAACGUAGAAGAAAAUCAUGAAAAUAAAAAAAAAAAAAAAAAAAAAACUCUGGUUGGGAUUUGUUUCAUAUGGAAAACAGAAAACAAAACUUAAGUUAGUCAAAAUUACCAACUCACUGCUGACAACAUUUUUGUUGUAACCAAACAUUUGGAAGAAAAUAAACACAAGAGCACGCCGUUGACCUGUAUUUCUUUUAUUCUUCAAUUCUAUUUCAUCUUUAAGCUGUAACCAAUGAUAAUCAAAUCUUGACUUGCAUAAAAACCAAAGAAAACAAAAUGAAUGCAGCAGAAUUUUCUACCACAAAUGAGUAGUAAUUUACAGAUAAUAAAAUUAUCGAAAAACUAUUGAGAGUCGAAUUUCAUAUUAAUUGUGGUAUCCAUGAACUAGAAUGUAUUAAAAAAAGAAGGAUAUUGACCUUGAGACUACUUGCAAUUUUCAAAAACACUCUCAAUUCCUCUCCCCCUCUUCGGGCACCGGCCCAAGAUCCUGCCAUUGGCUACCACGCCGGCCGCUAGUCGCCAGCGCCGGCGCCGUGCAUGGAGGAGGAGAGUCCAAAAAUAUCCUUUUUUUUUUCUCACAUGCAGAUCCUCGGCCUCCAAACACUCCGACGACGGCUACAAAGGUAAAAAGGCCUCUCAUUUUUUAUUUUUAUAAUGCUUCAAAAUAAAAAAAUAAAAAAAAGGGAAAAAAUCACCUUUAAAAAAAACUGAUUCCUGUUUUUUAUUUCUCUUUGUUUUUUUUUUUCCAAAAGAGAACUCCCUUAAUUUUUCAUCUUUUUUAGCCCUUAAACCUACGUUGUUUAUCAAUAACCUUAAACUUACAUUGUUUACCGGAUGAAAAAUUUAAUAUUUAUUAACUUUGCUAAGGUGCACAUAUGCAAUUUAUUUAAAUCUAAAAACUAUAAAAUAUCUUAAAAUUAAAACUAAAAGUUUUUAAACUACUUGAUUGCUCCUUUCUCCUUUACUGAGCAGUAGCAAAGAUAAUCGAGACUAAAUUGAAAUCCAUGAAAGAAGACAUAAAACACCUCCAUACAAAGUGUCACACUCAAACAAACCAUUACAGAUAGUACGAAAUGCAAUGAAAGACAGAGGAAUUGCUACAAUAACAAAGACAGACACAUACCAAUGCAACCCUUCACCAUAGGCAAAACAAGAAAUUAUGAAAAUACAACACUAGUUCUUGAACAUCAUUUGCAGUAAUUAGAUCCUUCUUCGUCCACUGCUGCGAUUGCCUUUCUUUGACUUUCUUCUUCGCCUCUUCUCAUGUUGGUUUUCAACCAAAUUCACCAACCAUUUCGGCUUUCCAGUUUGGAAAACAACAUAUCCCACCAGCAUUCCGAACACUACUCCGCAUCCAUAACCUAUCAACACCACUUUCCAUUCAAAAGCAAUGUUUGAUUUUGAGCCAUCUUUUUCAAGCACAUUUGGAGGUGCUGGCUCAAUGAUGUUGCAACCUUUCGAGACCGGAAAUCCACAUAGUCCCUUAUUUCCUUCAUAUGAAUCAUUUCCAAAUGUGUUGAAUUGUUUUCCUUGAGGAAUCUGACCAUGGAGUUGAUUUUCAGAAACAUUUAAGGACGAAAGAAAUGACAGAUCUGCCAAUCUAUUUGGAAUCGUCCCAGACAACCUGUUUGAAGAUAGGUCCAACCAUUCAAGACUUGUCAAACUCCCUAUUGAGGAGGGGAUAUCACCAUUAAGGUUAUUAUGAGAAAGGUUGAGCCCUUUCAGUAAGUUAAGCUUCCCAAUAACCUUUGGAAUACCCCCUUCAGACUGAUUGUUUGAUAGAUCAAUGAUCAUCCACAUGGUGAAAAUUUUCACCAAUUCCCUAUCUUGUCCUUUCAUGACAAUUCCAAUGGAAUAGGUAUAGAAGCCACUACCUCGAGAAUCAUUCACCCCCAUGUACGACACCGUACUACCAAUCUUUUCUAGAUUUAUGAUAGCCUUGAAGCUGUUGAUGUAUCUCACUGGUAGGGGUCCAGAAAAAUAAUUACUUGAGAGGUCAAAAAUUUGGAUUUUAGAGAAAAAAGGGCUAGACUUGGAGCUAUUGACACGCAAGGAACCAUGCAUAUGAUUUGACUUCAAAACAAGAACUUGCAAAAAUGGAAGACUUCCCAACCAAUGAGGAAAUGUAUCAUUGAUCUUGUUGUUACCAAGAUCUAGCACUUCCAGACCAUUACAAUUAAGGAUGGAUGGUGUCAAAGGCCCUUCUAACAGAUUUCCAUUUAAGUUGAAAUUAGUCAGUUGGCAUCCCUUUGCAAAUGUUAGAGGAAUCGUCCCAUAGAACUCGUUCUUCUUCAGAUUGAAGACUUGAAGGAUGUUGCUCAGAUUUCCAAAACAUUGCGGAAUUGUUCCACUCAAGUAAUUGUGGGACAAAUCAAGAAUUUGAAGAUAAGUGGCAUUGCAUAUUAAAGAAGAGACCUCUCCAUUGAAACUGUUAUUUGAGAUCAAAAAGACAUUGAUGGUCGAAGCUGGAAUCGGAAGAUUUCCACGGAUCAAAUUGGAGCUUAAGUCAAGAAAUUCAAUAUUCUUCCAUGGAAAGUGCUCAACUUCUGUCAAAGAGUUGUGAGAUACGUUUAAGUAAGUCAAAGAGUCAUUCCCCACCUCUUGCAUCCACUGUGGAAUCUUGCCUUCAAUUUUGUUGCAAGAGAGGUCUAACCUUUCCAAACUUUUAAGCCCUUUUAAAAACUGGGGGAAUUCACUAAGAUUGCAAGAUGACAAAAAUAAGCUUCUAAGAUUAACAGUAGAUGUAGUAUUAGAUGUUAAGUAUAGGCUGUUAAAUGAAAGGUCGAGAUAUUUUAGAUUUGGAAGGUUUGAGAACAUACGUAACUCUAUGACACCACUUAGAUUAUUUGAGGAUAAAACGAGCAAGGUAAGAUUGAGAAGUUGGAAUAUUGAAGAUGGAAAAGGACCUUGGAGUUUAUUAUUGUUUAGAUAUAAAUGUUCUAGUGAUUUGGAUUGGAAUUCUUGGAUAUGCCCACUGAAUUGAUUUUGAGAGAGAAUUAUAACCUUUAAGGAGGGAGCAGUAUACAACCAUGACGGAAGUGUUCCAUUGAGUAAAUUGUCAGAUAAGCCUAAAUAUAUUAGAUUAGGAAAAGUGGUUACCUCAUCUGGAAUGGAUCCUUCUAAAGAAUUUUCAGAUAUUCCCAAGUAUUCCAGCUGGGUUAGGUUUAGAAUUGACAAUGGAAUUUGUCCACUCAAUUGGUUCUGCGACAAGUCUAAAUGAGUGAGUUGCAAGAGGUUCCCCAAUGAUAUUGGAAUUUGUCCACUCAAUUGGUUCUGCCACAAGUUUAAAUCAGUGAGUUGCAAGAGGUUCCCCAAUGAUCUUGGAAUUUGUCCACUCAAUUGGUUCUGCCACAAGUCUAAAUCAGUGAGUUGCAAGAGGUUGCCCAAUGAUCUUGGAAUUUGUCCACUCAAUUGGUUCUGCCACAAGCCUAAAUUAGUGAGUUGCAAGAGGUUCCCCAAUGAUCUUGGAAUUUUUUCACUCAAUUGGUUCUGCCACAAGCCUAAAUGAGUGACUUGCAAGAGGUUCCCCAAUGAUCUUGGAAUUUUUCCACUCAAUUGGUUCUGCCACAAACCUAAAUCAGUGAGUUGCAAGAGAUUCCCCAAUGAUCUUGGAAUAUUUCCACUCAAUUGGUUCUGCCACAAGCCUAAAUGAGUGAGUUGCAAGAGGUUCCCCAAUGAUCUGCCACAAGCCUAAAUGAGUGAGUUGCAAGAGUUUCCCCAAUGAUCUUGGAAUUUGUCCACUCAAUUGGUUCUCACACAAGUCUAAAUAAGUGAGUUGCAAGAGGUUCUCCAAUGAUCUUGGAAUUUGUCCACUCAAUAGGUUCUGUGACAAGUCUAAAUAAGCGAGUUGCAAGAGGUUCCCCAGUGAUCUUGGACCCGGUCCUGAUAAGUUGGAAUGGGAGAGAUCUAAAACCUUCAAGGACACAAGAUUCCCCAUCCAGUCAGGCAAUCCUCCAAAAAAAUUUGCGCCUCCAAGAAUCAACUACUCCAAAGAUGAUAAAUUUGUGAAUGAGACAGACAAUCCUUGAAAGAAGGAAUUUCCUGAGAGAUCUAAGUACUUUAAGGCCUGUAGAUUAUCAACUGAAUCAAUGAAUUCUGUAGAGAAGGACACGAACGACAGAUCCAAAUGUUCAAGAUUGCUGCUCCGAUUGAACUUCAAAGGAUCAAGAUUGAGGUUUUGGUUGCCUCCCAAGUUGAGGAGAUUGAGGUUUGGCAAAUCAAAAAUGUUUUUUGGGAAUUUUCCUUGCAAAUCACAAAAAGCAAGACUGAGAGACCUUAGAGAAGAGGAUAGAUUCAUGAAGACAUGAGCAUUAACAGAAGACAUGUCCAUUCCAUCCAAAAACAGAUGUCUGACCUCGGUUAGGUUGUGAACAAGUCCCUCCAGAGCAUGUUUGUCAAUUGUUUGUGCAUCACCCCAACAGGAGAGAUCAAGUGAAACCAAUUUUGACAGGUGGGAGACUUGGGAUGGGACUUCUCCUGCAAACCCUGUAUUGGAAAGGUUGAGGUAGAAUAGGCUUGUAAACCGACCUAAGUCGGAUGGAAUUUUGGAAAGAUUAAAAUCAUUGAAGGCAAGGUUGAGUUUUUGAAGGUGAGGAAGAAGGAAGAGAGUGGUAUUGGAAGGGAAGUUGCCAGAUAGCCAACUGCAGCUCAAGUCAAGGGCAAUAACAUGAGCAUUUAGGUGGUCACAAGUGACCCCAUCCCAUGAGCAGCAAUCUGUACCCUCCUUCCAUGAAUUUGUCUUGGGAUAAGAUUUAGGGCCGCAAGACGAAUAAGCAGCCUCUGUUAUGGAAAAAGAGUUCUUGAACUGGAUUAGUAAAGAGCAGGAGUGAGAUCCUGAAGAAGAAAAAGAAGCAUAAAGAUGGGGAAAGAAGAGGAAUAGGCAGAGAAAGAGACAGGGGGGCAUGUUAUGUUUGUAGAGGAAGAUGAAGGAUAGGAAUGGUAUUUAUAGGCAACAAAUAAUACAACAACAUUGGUGUUACAGUCUUUUUUAUUUUCUCGAGUUCUAUGAGUUUGUUUAAAUUCGCCGUGAAUACUCGAUUUUUUUUUACGUUUUUGAUUCAAAUACCGCUAAAAACAUUAAUCGGUUGCCAUUAAAUAUGUCAUUUUCUAUUAGCUGCAAGAAAACUAUCCGAUAAACUGCAUCUUCUUCUUUAGAUGAAAUUUUGUAAAAAAAAUUUGACAUUAUCUCUUAUAUGGUCCUUCAAUUUUAUUUAAAAAAUGAUUUUAACUCUCCAUUUAAUUUUUCAAACAAAUUAACGCAACAUUUUAGUUAUUGUCUACUGUCCAAUAAUGCCAUGUGUAUCAGUACAAACAUUCCCAUUUCUUUUUUUUUUUUUUCAUUUUCCCAAAAACUCAUUUCACUCUUAGCUUUAUAAAGAAAAAAAAAGUUAUUUUAGCCCUUAAUUUAAUUUUUCAUCUUCUUUAACCCUUAAACUUAUAUUGUUUAUCAAAUAACCCUUAAACUUGCAUUGUUUAUCAGAUGAAAAAAUUAAUAUCUAUUAACUUUGCUAACGUGCAUACAUAUGCAACCUCAUUUAAAUCUAAAAAAUAUAAAAAUAAUUAAAUAUGUAUAAAUCUAAAAAUAUCUUAAAAUUAAAACUAAAAUUUUUUAAACUAAUACAAAUUUUUAUUAUUUAAAAAAUCUUAAAAUUUUCAAAUUAAAUUCCAUUUGUUUUCCACCAUUGAAGAACACCUUCAAUCACAUCAACAACUUCAUACUAUUUUGCCUAGAAAUUGUUUUGCAAAUUUAUUUUGUUUAUUUAUUUCUAAACCCAUAUUUCUUUUCUAUAACCCCAAUGGUAGCAAAGGAAAUGUAAAAAAAAAAAAACUUAAAAAUCAAAUUUUUAAUGAUGAAGGGAAUUGAUUUAUAUUAAAACCAAGGAUUACACUGAAAAUACAAAGAGUUGAAGGUACUAAACAAGCAAAUAAACCCUAGCUACAGUGAUAAUUAACUUAACUAUCUACUAUUGGAACCAAGAAAAACUAAAAGAAAACAUGAAUUAAACCCUAGAGUUAUGAAGAAGAAAACAAAAACUCUAAAAAUAAAGAGAAAAAUUGAAAACCGUGAAAUGUUAAGUGUGCCCUUUGUUCAGCCAAUUUUUUGCCCUUUCUAGCAAAUUACAGAUCCAAAAAUAGUGACCAAAUUGUCUUUGAUGGUCUAAUUUUGGUUAGGGGGAAAAGGAUUACCCCUACGGUUAUUUUUUUGUCUCCUCCCAUCAAUGAUAUUGCGAUACCCAAAGUUUGGUAUCGCGAUAUCCACGACAGUCUUGAGGAUCCUUGGGAGUUUUGGGUAUCGCGAUACCUUAUGACCGUUAUCACGAUAACACUGUUGAUAUGCGGUACCCUCUUUCUAGGUGACAUUUUCGAUCCUUCUGAGCCACCAUGGGAUCUCUGCAUCACUCAUCAACCUCAUCAGAUUCCUCGGAUGCCAUUUGGCCAUCUCAGAUCUCAAAAUAGUAUCAAAAUGGACACUAAUCAUUUAUUAGUAUAAAGAACUAAAACUAAAUAAAAAAACGACAAAGAUAUCUAAAUUGCUUGAAAAUAAGUUUUUAAGUGUGAUGGAGAGCCUAAUUUGACAUAUCAAUUUACAACAGAUUAUAAACAUAAUUUGCGGAACCUUGUUAAAAUUUUGAUUUUCUUUAUUAGUUUCUUUCAAUAUUCUGUACGGUACAUUUGUAGUAAUAUAUUGUGCAGAUCAUAGACUACAUUGCUUUAUUAGUGUUCUAUUGUUAAUCUAUUAUUAUUAUUAUUAUUAUUAUUAUUAGCACCACUUCCUUUUUACCAUAUAAUUUUUAUUCAUAAAAAUGAAGAGUUGAUUUACUAAAGAAAGAAGAAGAAUUGAUGAGAUUAUAAAGUAUAUUGACUUGGUCUUGCUUCCUUUAUAUGUAUGAAUGUGGAAAUCGGCAUAAUGCCAACUUAUUUUCCACGCAGAGGAAGAAAAUGGUGCUCUCUUGUCACUCCCUUUAACUUGACAAAAUACAAGACAUGUGAUCCACCAAUGAAUGUUUGACUAUCUCCAUCUCACUUUUUAUUAAUCAAGGAAUAUAAACUUACUAUUUCAACAUUUCAUAAGCAAAAGCUAAAAUAAUAUUGGUCACAUCCCAUAUCUUCAUAAGACAAAAGUUAAAACAGCCUUCAGUUCAUCUACAUUCUACAUUCAUAUCAAUUGCACACAAAGUCAUAUCUGCAAGCAUCAAAUAUUAACCUUUCAACUCCAUAAUAACAACACCAAUUUCUAACAAUUGCAGAAGAAUGUCCAAUCAUUCCACACAAAUUAACAACAAUUUGUAGCAUCCACUACAUUCAUAUCAAUUCCACACAAAUUAAGACUGCAAUUUCUAACUUGUUUAUACCCUCAAUGAAGCUACCUAAAAGAUAUGAAUUUUUUAAUAUUAUAAAGUUAAGUGACCAAAACAUAAAUUUUCUACUAGAUUAGUACUUGAGGUGUAGUUUACCUUAUAAUAAAUAACUAUAAUAAAUUUGUGAAUCAAUUGCAUAAUUAAAUUAAGAUUUUCAAGCCUUUUACCAAACCAAACUUGAAAGGAGAAAAAGAAUCAUGAAAGAAUCCAGUUUUAAAAGCCUUUCACUUUUCCCAAGUCCAAUACACAAAUUCACAAGAUCCCACACUCUCAUUUAUCCUCUUCAAAAAGCAAGGUCCACAACAAAAGAUUAAUUUAGAUAUUAAUUAUUUUAUUUUAAUGGGAUAUAAUUUGAUAUUUUGUUUUUAUUUUAAUUAAGUGUGUUUAAAUUAGUGAUAUUUGUUAUAAUAAUUAAGUUAUACAUUCGGGAAGGUUGAUAAUAAUGUUCACACCAUAGAUGUUGUGAAGAGCCACUAAAAGUGACAAUUUAUCUAUGCUAAAAAGGUGUUUGAAUAGAGUAAUAUUGGACAAUGUCCUACCUCAAGACCCAAAAGGGAUGCCAAUUUAAGACCCAAGGAAGCCUUCGACUUAUCUCACUUGUGUAAGGAGCUAGAGUUAUCUCUUUACUAUUAACAACAUAAUUAAUCAUAUUCUAUAAUUCACCUUUAAGGUGUCUUAUUCACUUGUUUAGGUCAACUAUACCAAAUUCAGCAUUUUAUUUCGCCAAACCAAAAUUGUCAUUUGCCAUAUAGGGAUCGCCAAGCCUAUAAAAGCCAAAAUCUUUUCAAAGAUUUGCCUCGUUUAGCUCGAUUCUUCAAUUUAUCUUCUCAAUCUCAAUUAUUAACGUUUGUCUCUCUAACUUGCCUCCUCAAAUUUAAUCAUUAAAACUAAAUGCAUUACGUGCUCACCAUACUACAAGAACAUAAACUUAUUUAUUUCAAGAGGAUCACUUUAUAAAUUUCCAUCAAUUAGGGAAAAAUUAUUAUACCUCUAUAAGUAUAUUUUAAAAUAUGGCGAUAUUUCAAGAUAGCACCUAUCACAUUUCAAUAAAACUCAUUAUAUAUCUACCACCAUCAUAAUUAAGUAAUAGAGCAUCAUUCUAUAUGGACACACAUCAAGCUCAUUUCCUUUUAUGUUAAUUAUUCACGUAAUUCUAAUUUUCAAUUAUUUCCUUAAAUAUUAAAAAUAACUACUCUGUUAAUGCCAUGUAGCUAUUUUGAUUAAUGAUUUCCAUUUAAUUUGUUUUCCUCCUGACUUGGAAAUGUGGACUUGACAACAAAAUGAAAUUUGAGCAUGACACCUUAAUUUUGUGGUUGGUUUGACGAAUACUGAAGGUUGGUCAUCUUGAAACAUAUAUAAAAUUAAAUGAUUGAAUUAUUGAAAUUAUUAAAUAAAAUAAUUAUGAAAUUAGAAUUUAAGGUUAGAGGUUAUUUUUAGAAUUUUAAAUUUUCUUUUACUGCUAACUUGUAAAAAAAUUAUGAAAAUACAACAGAGAUCAUUGACACAUUUUGUUCUCCUUUCUCCUUUACUGAGCAGUAGCAAAGAUUAUCGAGACUAAAUUGAAAGUCAUGAAAGAAGACAUAAACAACACCACCAUACAAAAUGUUACAUUCAAACAAACCAUUACAGAUAGCACGAAAUGCAAUGAAAGGCAGAGGAAUUGGUACGAUAAUAAAGACAGACACGUACCAAUGCAACCCUUCACCAUAGGCAAAACGGUCUACAGAACAAUAAAUUAUGAAAAUACAACACUAAUUCUUCAACAUCAUUUGCUGUAAUUAGAUCCUUCUUCGUCUAUUGCUCCGAUUGCCUUUCUUUGACUUUCUUCUUCGCCUCUUCUCUUGUUGGUUUUCAACCAAAUUCACCAACCAUUUCGGCUUACCAGUUUGGAAAACAACAUAUCCCACCGACAUUCCGAACACCACUCCGCAUCCAUAACCUAUCAACACCACUUUCUAACCAAAAUCAAUGUUUGAUUUUGAGCCAUCUGUUUCAAGCACAUUUGGAGGUGCUGGCUCAAUGAUGUUGCAACCUUUCGAGACCGGAAACCCACAUAGUCCCUUAUUCACUUCAUAUGAAUCAUUUCCAAAUGUGUUGAAUUGUUUUCCUUGAGGAAUCUGACCAUGGAGUUGAUUUUCAGAAACAUUGAAGGACGAAAGAUACUGCAGAUCUGCCAAUCCAUUUGGAAUCGUCCCAGACAACCUGUUUGAAGAUAGGUCCAACCAUUCACAACUGGAUUAGUGAAGAGCAGGAGUACUGAGAUCCUGAAGAAGCAUAAAGAUGGGGAAAGAAGAGGAAUAGGCAGAGGAAGAGAUAGGGGGCCAUGUUAUGUUUGUGGAGGAAGAUGAAGGAUAGGAAUGGUAUUUAUAGGCAACAAAUAAUACCACAGUGUUACAGUCUUUUUUUCUUUUACGUUGAGAAGCUAUAGACAUUAGAUUUUCAAAAUUUUUGUAUUUUUCACAAUCAUCAACAACGACUUAGUCUUCUUUUUACCAUAUAUUUUUCAUUCUUAAAAUUGGAUAUUAGAUUUUCAAAAUAUUUGUAUUUUUCACAAUCAUCAGCAAAAUCUUGUAUUUCGUUUGAACUGUCUAAACAACUAAAAAAAUUAAGAUUGAUGAGAGUACAAAGUAGAUUGACUUAGUCUUUUUUCUCAUAACCCUUAAAGAAUGUGUGUAUCUAUUCACUUGCAGGUCAACCAAAGCUAAUUAAUGUGGAAAUUCUUUUUCACAACAAAAUUGUACUCUAUUCACUACGUUUGAGGAAGAAGACUGUUGGAAAUUUAAUCCACCGAUUCCAUAAAAACGUGUAUACUUAUAUAUAUAUAUAUAUAUAUGUAUAACCUCAUAUAAAAUCUGAUAAAUUUAUUUGGGAAUAGUUAUUUUUCAUUCGUUAAUUAUUUCUCUUUUAAUCAAGUAAAAAAAUUAAAACUAAAAAGACAUUAUGAUUUAUUUGGCAUUUUUUAACUUCACAAAUAAAACGUCAUUUUAACUUUCUAUUCUUUUUUUUAUCUCUUUUAGCCUUGAAACUUAUAUGGUUCGUUAAAUCACUCAUUGAUGACAUAUUAACCUUUGAGUUAAACUCAAAUUGCUCUUCUCUUUGUUAUAAAUUAAGAGUAUAACUAAUUUUGAUAAAAAUGGUUACUUUUCAUUAACUUAGUUUAAAGGACUAUAACACGUAAAGUUUGGUCUAUUGCAGAAUUCACAUGUAAUGUGGGACAUUUUUUAACUUUACAAACAAAAAGUCAUUUGCGCCACAAUGUACAAUACUUCCACACCAUCUGCAGUAUUGCUACGUUUACUUGAGGGAAAACAAAGACAUGAAUGCUGGAAAUUUUAACUAGUUUGUACCGUCAAUAAAGCUACCUACCUAAAAGCCAUUUAGGAUAUCAAUUCCUGUAAUUGGAUUAAUCUCAUCGUUGCUGCAAUCUUUUGACAGUGUAAUCCAAUCUUAAAUAUGUUACUCUGCAGUGCUAUCGUAAAUAUUACUCUUAAAAUUGUGGAUAGAUAUAUAGGUUUGGCACAAAAUUAAGAAUACACAAAGGCAGGAUGAAUCAUUCCAUGUUUGAACAUCUGCAACAUAAAUGCAUAUGGCAAAAGGGCUCAAACCAUACCUUAUGUUCAUGAUGUUAACAUUAAUGGGAGACAACAUUAAUGGCAAACAAUACAAAGUGGUGCAAGUUUAGCACCCUAAAGUUGACUUUGAAAAAGUGGCAUGGGAUAAAUUUUUUUGGUCCUUGAGAUAAUGGGCUAUUUAUUGUUUGGUCCUUAAACUUCAACUAUAAAUAGGCCUUCUCAUUUCUCAUUUCAAUUCAUCCCAACCAAUCUUUCUCUCUUAGUUUUCUCUCUUCUCCCAUUUGAGAAUUCUUAAGGAAUUCAAUUUGUUUGUAAUACUUUGGAGAUAGUAAAGUUAUCAUCUGGUGUUAGUGCCCGAGGACGUAGGUAUAAUUUACCGAACCUCGUUAAAACUCUUGUGUUCUUUCUUGUCCUAUUUUUCUUUCAAUAUUUGAGGGUAUAAUAGUAGUAUUUAAUUGUGCUAUUAAAUUACUAUAGAAGGGAUAUUCUGUCUAAGGAAAGACUUGGUAUUUAAGAGAUCCAUGUGAUCCACCUCUCUUCCCUGGGAAUUGAACUUUGUGUGAUUUUUUAGUACAAUAAUUUACACGCUUCCGACCCUAUUGGAACAAUACAUGAAUUCUCAUCAUCACGUGUUUAUAAAUGCAACUCAAACUUCAAUAAUUGAAUCUUUUGUAAUUCUACAUGUAUUUUUUUUUAUGGUGAGCAGUAUAAUAUUUACUAAAAAUUGAAAUUCAAGAAAGAAGCCAUACAUAGUUGCACCAUACAAGAUGUUACACUCGAACUAAACCCUUACAAAUAGUACAAAAUGCAAUGAAAUACAGAGGAAUUGGUACAAUCAUAAAGACAGACACAUACCAAUGCAACUUUUCACCAUAGGAAAAACUUUCUGACAGACUACUAAACAAGAAAUUAUGAAGACACAGCAGAAAGGCUUUAACUUCAUUUGCACCAACUAUAUCCUUCUUCAUCCAUUGAUGCGAUUGCUAUAUUUUGGUUUUCUUCUUCGCCUCUUCUCAUGUUGGUCUUCAACCAAAUUCACAAUCCUUUUCGCUUCUUCUGAGCCACCAUGGGCUCUCUGCAUCACUCACCAACCUCAUCAGAUUCGCCGGGUGCCAUUUGGCCAUCUCAGGUCUCAAAAUAGUAUCAAAAUGCACACUAAUCAUUUAUUAAUAUAAAGAACAAAAACUAAAUAAAAAAACAACAAAGAUAUCUAAAUUGCUUGAAAAUAAGCUUUUAAGUGUGAUGGAGAGCCUCAUUUAACAUAUCAAUUUAUAGUAGAUCAUAAACAUAAUUUGCGGAACAUUGUUAAAAUUUCGAAUUUCUUUAUUAGUUUUCUUUCAAUAUUCUGUAUGGUACAUUUGUAGUAAUAUAUUGUGCUGAUCAUAGACUACAUUGCUUUAUUAAUGUUCUAUUGUUAAUCUUUUAUUAUUAUUAUUAUUAUUAUUAACACCACUUCCAUUUUAUCAUAUAAUUUUUUUUCAUAAAAAUGAAGAGUUGAUUUACCAAAAAAUUGUAUUUCAUUUGAACUCCCUAAAGAAAGAAGAAGUGAUGAGAUUAGAAAGUAUAUUGACUAGGUCUUGCUUCCUUUAUAUGUAUGAAUGUGGAAUUUGGCAUAAUGCCAACUUAUUUUCCACGCAGAAGAAAAUGGUGCUCCAUCCACUCUGUUUAACUUGACAAAAUACAAGACAUGUGAUCCACCAAUGAAUGUUUGACUAUCUCCAUCUCACUUUUUAUUAAUCAAGGAAUAAAAACUUAACAUUUCAACAUUUCAUAAGCAAAAGCUAAAAUAUUGACCUUUGAACUCCAUAAUAACAUAAGUUAAAACAAAAGUUAAAACAGCCUUCAGUUCAUCUACAUUCCACAUCAAAUCUGCAAGCAUCAAAUAUUGACCUUUGAACUCCAUAAUAACAACACCAAUUUCUAACAAUUCCAGAAGAAUGUCCAGUAACUCCACACAAAUUAACAACAAUUUGCAGCAUCCACUACAUUCAUAUCAAUUCCACACAAAUUAAGACUGCUUGUUUAUAAAGCUACCUACUGCAAAUUUUGUAUUGCUUGCAAUGAAUUGACCGUCAUUUUCUAUUACUUGCCACAAAAUUGGAAUUCUGAUAAGUUUAAUUUGGAAUAUGAUCAAUUUUGGUUAAAUUGGAGUGAAUAUUACUAUUUCUGUUUUAGCAAUUAAAGCAACCUAUAUGUACCCUUUUACACUCUGCAUUGUUCCAUGUUUCAAUUCAUUACAUCAUUCCUUCAACUCUGCUAUAUAUUAUCACCGUCUCCACAUAACCAAACCUUUUACUGCUAACUUGUAAAAAAAUUAUGAAAAUACUGUCGAAACCAUUUUUUUAUUUGAAAAAUGAGAGUCGACUUUAAGAAACAAAAAUGAGAGUCGCUACCAAUCUUUUUUGAGGUGUGAUCAUAUGCGCAAGAAAAUUUGCUCUCACUUACUCUCGAAAUUUACAGUAGGGGCUUAGGCUACCAAUAAAUUCUCAAUUAGAUAAUGAAUCAUCUACGAGCAACGAUUCCAAACCACAAUGAAUUGAGAGCUCAAACUAGCUCUUCCUCUAACUCAUAGAAGGCUCUAAUGAAUCCGAGGCUUCACACAUGACAAUCACACAAUACUCACAAUCAAAUGACAGCCAAGGACCCACUUAAACUAACCAAAACACAAGCCUAAGCUACCUUCUCAUGUAACCAAACCCUUUAGCAUGAUGAAAUUAAAAUGCAAAUAUAUUGAUCUACACUUAACAUUUUCACAAGAAACAAGUUUCAUUCAUCGCCAUAUUCAUCUAUAACUAAACUCCAACCUUUAAACCACACAAAACUAUACAUUUCAAGGUAUCGACAUUUUUCGACAAGUUUUGGCUAUAAUAAUGAAAAUUCAUUAAAACACGAGAAAUCUUUAAUAGAACUUAGAAGUAAUUUUAGAAACCUUCUAAUCAAGUUAAAACAAGUUGAAAAACACUUUUAAAUCACAUUUUUAUCCACAAUCUCAAAUUCCACUAUUAAUGACCCAAUUUUUGGGUUUUAAUUAAAACAUGUCAAUUUUAAAAUCUAAAUAACAUUAAAAAUUAAUGGUAAAGUAAAUGGUUACUUUUGAUGGGAGAUUAAUUGAGUUUUGACGUAAAUUUGAAAAACGAAGAAGAUGAUGAAAUCUAUGGCAUUUUUGAGUGUUUUUCUUAGAGAUUUAUGAAGGUAAUUGACUUGGGAGUUAUAAGAAAUCAAAGUAUUAUUGUUUGGGAAUAAAAUAAAUAAAUUGAAAGAUGAAGGGAAUAGCAAAGGACGGCAAUAGCAAACUUUGGAGAGUAACCAUCGUGAAAUAGAACUGGGAUUGGGGUUUAUUAGGUUCAAUUUUAAAAAUUGGUAAAACUGCAAUAUAAGUGCUCACUAUUUUAACUUUGUUACAAAUUAUUCCUUUUUUUCUAAAAUUUAGAAAUUUAAAACUCAUUUUCAGAAAUUGACUCCAUUCCCUAAUAGCCAUUGUAGAAAACAUUAUCAAAUACUAACCUUAAGAAAUUUGAGCGCAUAUAGGCUAAAAUUCCUAAAAUACACUCGAAAUUCUUAGACCCUAUUUUGGAGUGUUACACACAUGGUCAUGAUUCAUGUUGAAUUAAUCCAUCAUUCACCGUAAUAAGACUUGUCAUUGUAAUAAUUUAUUUUGAUACGUAUUAUUUUAUGAUGCAUAAACAUCAUAAAAUUUUCUAUUAUGCAAUAAUAGAAUUAGUUAAAUCAUCUAAUAUCUAAAAAAUUAUUAUUAUUUUAAUAAAAUCAUUCAUCAAAUUCCUGUUUUCAAAUUUCAUACAUGAAAUUAACAAAUAAAGAUAGCUCUAAAUAGCAAAACAUGGUAGGAUGGUUUUGUUGUGCAAACUUAGGAUUUCAAUUCUCAUCAAGGAACUUGCAAGCCUAUUAUAGUAGAAAUGUUCUAUCCAAAUGAUAAAGAUGUUGAUGCAACAUUUUAGAUUGCAAAUUCCUUGAUCACAUUUGGAAUCCUAAGCACAGGGACUUGCAAGCCUCUUAGCUCCAGGAACUUUAGAUUGUACCUGUUCAAAACAUUUUUCAAAGAAGGAACCAUAGGCGUCUAUUCUGGUUCAUCUCAUUGAAUACAUCAAAUGGAGGAUCAAUACGCUGAAAAAGGGACAACGGAAAGAACUUUAGCCAAUAACUUGAAUUUUAUAACUACUCCUAUGCCAACCAGCAAACCAUAACAACACAAAUGUUUGUUCUGUUAAGGAACAAUACACAGACAUAUUCACCUACCCUUGGUGCUGACAGAAUAUGCCCAUUCACUUGGGUGAAAUUAGAGUUGAUAUUAACCCCACAAGAUUUCUGCACCAUAAUUACUGCUAAGUAAAACCUGCACAUCAAUUUUCAUUCUUCACUAGAAACUGAAUCUAUUUUUGUAAGUAAAAAUUAGUUGUAUUCAUUGUUCACAUAAUUGAUCUUUUGUUGUGGAAGUAUUGUAUUUCCGGUAAUCCAUUAAGUAUUCAGUGUUUGAUGCAAUAGAUUUGUAUUUUAUUAUUUUAUUUUGUGGAAGGAUCCUUUAUCUAUUUUGUUUUUUACAUUUCUGAUAAGUUUACAUUUUUCAGUAAUUAACUUAUGUUGUUUUUGCCAAACUUUGUAGCGUUUCACUUUUGGUAAAAUUUCAUCCUUGGUCCCUUUAAACUCCUUUUUGCUUUAAUUUGAUUGCUUUCUAGCGUUGCAAAUUACAUGACACUCUUCAAAUGUCUUACUAAAUUCUCACUUCUACGAGUGCUAUGAUAAUCAAAUAAAGUUCAAUUCAAUUUUAAGUUCCAUACAACACUUACAAGGCUACAAAAUGUGUCCUCAACCACAAACAAUCCAAAUUUGCAGAGAAACCACCCAUUAUAUAUAGGUUUGCCAAUGAGAUGGCAAGCAGACUGCUAGCUAGAAAUUCAUGCAUCUUUGAAUCACCAAUUCAAUUAAUAAGCUUAACUAGAGGAAAUAAGGACUUUACAUCCACCAAUUAAAGCAACCUAUAUGUACCCUUUUACAGUCUUCAUUGUUCCAUAUUUCAAUUCAUUACAUCAUUCCUUCAAUUCUGCUAUAUAUUAUUACCGUCUCCAGAUAACCAAACCUUUUACUGCGAACUUGUAAAAUAAUUAUGAAAAUACAACAGAGAUCAUUGAGACAUUGUUGAAGCUGGCUUGGAUGAAUGCCAAGCUGUCCGAGCCAUGCAAGUCGCGGCUGAAGCUUAUGCUGCUGUUUUGCUACUUUCAAAUAGAUAUUUUAUUACUUAGUUAGAUAUGAACUAAGUUUUUGAUAUGCUUGAUGUACUUAGGUGCUGAUAGAUUGAUAAAUCAGCUUUACCAAGUGUACAAGCAAUGUUUAUAAAAGAAUAAUAUUACAUAACUAAACUAAAUAACUAAAUUAAAUAAUAUUAUAAAGUUAAGAGACCAAAACAUAAAUUUUCUAAUAGAUUAGUACUUGAGGUGUAGUUUACCUUAUAAUAAAUAACUAAACUAAAUUUGUGAAUCAAUUGCAUAAUUAAAUUAAGAUUUUCAAGCCUUUUGUGAUUGGUAUUGGACCAAACCAAACUUGAAAGGAGAAAAAGAUUCAUGAAACAAUCCACUUUUAAAAGCCUUUCACUUUUCCCAAGUCCAAUACACAAAUUCACAAGAUCCCACGCUUUCAUUUAUCCUCUUCAGAAAGCAAGGUCCACAACAAGAGAUUAAUUUAGAUAUUAAUUAUUUUAUUUUAAUGGGAUAUAAUUUGAUAUUUUGUUUUUAUUUUAACUAAGUGAGUUUAAAUUAAUGAUAUUUGUUAUAAUAAUUAAGUUACACAUUCGGGAAGGUUGAUAAUAAUGUUCACACCAUAGAUGUUGUGAAGAGCCACUAAAAGUGACAAUUUAUCUAUGCUGAAAAGGUGUUUGAAUAGGAGUAUUGGACAACGUCCUACCUCAAGACUCAAAAGGGAUGCCAAUUUAAGAUCCAAGGAAGCCUUUGACUUAUCUCACUUGUGUAAGGAGCUACAGUUAUCUCUUUACUAUUAACAACAUAAUCAUAUUCUAUAAUUCACCUUUAAGGUGUCUUAUUCACUUGCUUAGGUCAACUAUACCAAAUUCACCUUUAAAGCAUUUUAUUUCGCCAAACCAAAAUUGUCAUUUGCCAUAUAGGGAUCGCCAAGCCUGCAAAAGCCAAAAUCUUUUCAAAGAUUUGCCUCGUUUAGCUUGAUUCUUCAAUUUAUCUUCUCAAUCUCAAUUAUUAACGUUGUCUCUCCAACUUGCCUCCUCAAAUUUAAUCAUCAAACGUGCAUUACGUGCUCACCAUACUACAAGAACAUAAACUUAUUUAUUUUCAAGAGGAUCACUUUAUAAAUUUUCAUCAAUUAGGGAAAAAUUAUUAUACCUCUAUAACUAUAUUUUAAAAUAUGGCGAUAUUUCAAGAUACCACCUAUCACAUUUCAAUAAAACUCGUUAUAUUUCUACCACCAUCAUAAUUAAGUAAUAGGGCAUCAUUCUAUAUGGACACACAUUAAGCUCAUUUCCUUUUAUGUAAAGUCCUCUACAUAACUUAAAAGGGAUGGAAAACAUAGAGCAAAACUCUAUAUAUCCAUUCUCUCCUAAAGCUUUCAACUCACUCUUAACAAUACUACCACUACCAUGUGAAUCACCCUUAACUGUUAACCUUUUAAAAAUAACUACUCUGUUAAUGCCAUGUAGCUAUUUUGAUUAAUGAUUUCGUUUAAUUUGUUUUCCUCCUGACUUGGAAAUGUCGACUUGACAACAAAAUGAAAUUUGCGCAUGACACCUUAAUUUUGUGGUUGGUUUUGUUGGAAUAUUUUCAAAUAUUUAUAGUAUCCCAAUAACUAUAAAUGAAUGGGUGUAAUUAAUCAAAAGAUAAAACUUUUGGUCAUUGGUCAAAAGUUAUAUCAUUUGAUUUUUUAAAAAAGAAUUAUAACUAUUCAAAAAAUAUUAUUUGAAUAGUUACAAAAUUAAAUGAAUAAUUAUUAUUAUUUAUUUAUUCAUAAAGACACCUAUUGAAAGAUGUCUCUAUGAAGAGACAUGAAAAUUCCUAUAAAUAGGAAUAGGAUUUCAUUUGGAAAUCAUAUCAACAAAUUCUAAUAUUAUUUCUUCUCUUCCUUCAUUUUCUAAUAUUAUUAGAUUAUUCUAUAAAGUAUUGCUGCAGAAAUCCUUUGUAGAAAUUGAGUUUUUGUUAUACAUUACUCAGUGCAUAGUGGACUAUUCUCGUCAGUGCAAAACGCAAAUAGUCAUUGGCUUCAUUGUAUCCUCGAGGUUAAUUUGCUUGGAACUCGUUUGCACACUGAAGAUAAGUGGAGGCGAAUAUAACCUUAAAGAUAGUGGCUUGAUACACGCCUUGGAGCCUGUCCUAUUUCUUCUUUUUCUUUUCGAGUUCCGAUCGUGUGUUCAAGUUUUUUUCUUACCGGAGUUUUGUACUAACAAUUUUAAGGUUAUAUUUCAUGAUGACUACCACAACACAUGAAAGUGGAACACUAAGGGAGUUGGCUUCCAACUUUGUUAAACUUGAUCGUUUUGAUGGUGGCAAUUUUCGACGAUGGCAGAAAAAGAUGCACUUUUUGUUAUCAACUUUGAAUAUUGCUUAUGUUUUGGAUACUCCAAGACCUGAAGAGAAUGAAAAUGAAUCUGUUGCUGCAACCCGAGAAAGACAAAAAUGGGACAAUGCUGAUUACAUGUGCAUGGGCCACAUAUUGAAUGGUUUAUCUGAUGGUUUGUUCGACACCUACCAAAACGACGUCACCGCUAAAGAAUUAUGGGACAAAUUGGAGGCAAGAUACAUGACCGAAGAUGUUACAAGUAAGAAAUUUCUUGUCAGUCGUUUCAAUAAUUAUCAAAUGGUUGAUGGUCGUUCUGUUAUGGAACAAUUUCGUGAUAUUGAAAAGAUGCUGAAUCAAUUUAAGCAAUAUGAUAUGAAAAUGGAUGAAAUGAUUGUGGUAUCCUCCAUAAUAGACAAACUUCCUCCAUCUUGGAAAGACUUUAAAAGAAGUCUAAAACAUAAGAAAGAGGAAAUAUCUCUUGAGGCUUUGGCAAAUCAUCUUCGUAUUGAAGAAGAGUAUCAAAAACAAGAUCAGAACCUAAAUUCUAAAAAUGCCGAAGUACAUGUUAUGGAGGAAGUACAGACUACUAAACCAUUCAAGAGAAAGUUCAAUCAGACUGAUAGAGCACCUAAGUUCAAAAAGAAACAAAAGGGCUCAUGCUAUCAUUGUGGAAAGCCGGGACAUUUCAAGAAUGAAUGUCGAUUUUUAAAGAAGAAAUCAUCUUCUAAGGCUGAUAAUAACGAAAAGUUCGUUGCAAUGAUAUCUGAAAUUAAUAUGGCACAAGAUGAUAAUACAUGGUGGAUUGAUACCGGAGCAACCAAACAUGUGUGCAAAGACAAAAGCAUGUUCACAAAGUUCACACAAUGUGAAAAUGACAAUGUCUUGUACAUGGGAAAUUCUUCCACCGCAACAAUUAAAGGCAAAGGGUCUGUUGAACUACAAUUCACUUCUGGAAAGGUUUUAACCUUAAAUGAUGUAUAUUAUGUACCAAAAGUUAGGAAAAAUUUAGUGUCUGGAAGUCUGUUGAAUAAGUUUGGUUUCAAACUUGUUUUUGAGGCAGAUAAGUUUAUUUUGUCUAAGGGAGGAAUUUUUGUGGGAAAAUGGUAUAUGUAUGAAAGCAUGUUCAAACUUAAUAUUAUUAAUAAGAAUAAAAAUACUAUUUCUGCUUAUAUGGUUGAAUCAUUUUGUUUGUGGCAUUAUAGAUUAGGUCAUUUGAAUUAUAGAAAAUUGAAUGACAUGUAUAAAUUAGAUUUAAUUCCUGUUUUUAAUAAUAAUAUUGAAAAAUGCAAUACCUGUAUGUUGACUAAAAUUACAAGAAAUCAUUUCCCUAAGGUUAAAAGGAAAACAAAAUUGCUUGAUUUGAUACAUAGUGAUUUAUGUGACUUGCAUAAUACUCCUACAUUAGGUGGAAAGAAAUAUUUUGUUACUUUUAUUGAUGAUUGUUCUAGAUAUUGUUAUGUAUAUUUAUUGCAUUCAAAAGAUGAAGCGCUUGAUAAAUUUAAAGUUUAUAAAUCUGAAGUUGAACUUCAGUGUGAAUCAUUUAUCAAGUGCUUAAGAUCGGAUAGAGGUGGAGAAUACUAUAAUCCAAGUUAUUUUGAACUCACUAGAAUUGUCCAUCAAGUUUCAGCCCCUUACACACCACAACAAAAUGGUGUAGUUGAAAGGAAAAAUAGAGUCUUGAUUGAAAUGGUAAAUUCAAUGUUAUCAUAUUCAGGUCUUGGACAGGGUUUUUGGGGAGAAGCUGUUCUAACAGCUUGUCAUAUAUUGAAUAGAGUUCCUAAUAAAGAAACUAAAAUAACCCCCUAUGAACAAUGGAAGAAAAGGAAACCAAACUUUAAUUAUUUAAAGGUUUGGGGUUGUAGAGCUUGGGGUUGUAGAGCUAUUGUAAAAGUUCCAACACCUAAACGUAAAAAGUUAGGUGAAAGAGGAAUUGAAUGCAUAUUUAUAGGUUAUGCACAUAAUAGCAAGGCAUAUAGGUUCAUAGUAAUUGAACCAAAUGAUUCAAUUUCAAUUAAUACGGUUAUUGAAUCAAGAGAUGCUAUUUUUGAUGAAAAUAGAUUUAAUUCUAUAUCAAGACAAUUACAACCACAACAAUUGAUUCAUUCUUCAAAUGAGAAUGAGAUUCCAUUGAAACAAAUUGAUAAUAAUGAUGAAUCUUGUCAAGAAUUAAGAAGAAGUAAUAGGAUUAAAAAGGUCAAAGAUUUUGGACCAGAUUUCAUUAUGUUUCUUGUAGAAGGAAAAGGUGAAAGUAUAUGCAAUAAGAUACCUUAUUGUUAUAAUACCGAAUCUGAUCCUAUUACAUUUGAAGAAGCAGUGAAAUCUCAAGACUCUGCUUUUUGGAAAGAAGCAAUAAAUGAUGAAAUGGAUUCAAUAAUGGGAAAUCAAACUUGGAUCUUAGUUGAUCAUCCACCAGGUUCCAAACCAAUAGGUUGUAAAUGGAUCUUCAAAAAGAAAAUGAAGGUCGAUGGAACCAUUGAUAAAUUUAAAGCAAGGUUGGUAGCAAAAGGUUUUACACAAAGACAAGGUAUUGAUUCCUUUGAUACCUAUGCUCCAGUAGCAAGAAUUGCUACAAUUAGACUAUUAAUAUCACUUACCUCUAUAUAUAAUUUGGUUGUUCACCAAAUGGAUGUUAAAACUGCAUUUUUAAAUGGUGAAUUGGAAGAGGAAGUGUACAUGGAGCAACCGGAAGGAUUUGUUGUUCCAGGACAAGAGCAUAAGGUAUGUAAGCUUGUUAAAUCUUUAUAUGGGCUUAAACAAGCACCAAAACAAUGGCACCAAAAGUUUGACAAGGUUGUUUUAGCUAAUGGCUAUAAAAUAAAUGAAUCCGAUAAGUGCAUAUAUAGUAAAUUUGAUAAUGGAAAGGGUGUUAUAAUUUGCUUAUAUGUAGAUGACAUGCUCAUUUUUGGCACGGAUUUGGAAUAAAUAGAAAACACAAAGAAAUUCUUGUCAAACAACUUUGCUAUGAAGGAUAUGGGUGUAGCAGAUGUUAUUCUUGGGAUUAAAAUAACCCGAGAUGAAAGCACUAUAGCUUUAUCACAAUCACAUUACAUUGAAAAUGUGCUUAAAAAGUUUGAUCUUUUCAACUGUAUACCAGCAUCUACACCCAUGGAUCCUCAAUUAAAAUUAGUAUCUAAUGCUGGUAGGAAAAUUGAUCAAUUGAAAUAUGCAAGUCUAAUUGGUUGUCUUAUGUACAUAAUGACUUGUACAAGACCAGAUAUUGCAUAUGCUAUUGGAAAAUUGAGUAGAUACACAAGUAAUCCAAGUAGUUUGCAUUGUCAAGCUUUAAAUAGAGUACUUAGGUACUUAAAGAAAACUAUUAACUAUGGAUUGUGUUAUAAUGGAUAUCCUCCAGUUUUAGAAGGGUAUUCGGAUGCUAGUUGGAUUACAAGUUUGGAAGAUCAUGCAUCUACUAGUGGGUGGAUCUUCAUUCUUGGUGGAGGAGUCAUUUCUUGGGGUUCCAAGAAACAAACAUGUAUUACUGAUUCCACCAUGGCAGCAGAAUUUAUUGCAUUAGCCGCUGCAUCUAAAGAAGCAGAAUGGUUAAGAAAUUUGCUUUAUGAUGUACCUUUAUGGCUUAAGCCAAUUUCACCUAUUUCUAUCCGUUGUGAUAGUGAGGCUACUCUAGCAAAGGCAUAUAGCCAAGUAUAUAAUGGAAAGUCUAGACACAUUGGAUUAAGACAUAGUUAUGUCCGACAAUUAAUCUCUGAUGGAGUGAUCACUAUUAAUUAUGUGAGGUCAAGUGAAAAUUUGGCAGAUCCUUUGACAAAAAGUCUUGCUAGAGAUGCAGUAAAAAGGACCUCAAAAGGGAUGGGACUCAAGCCUAUUAAUUAGAGCCACCCAUUAUGGAAACUCGACUCAACGCUUGGUAUAACGUCAAGUCUUGAGUUCAAUGAGACAAAGUACAUCAUUAGUAUGUGACUGUUAGCACUAUAAAUAAAUCCAUCCUAAGAUUAAAGUGCUAGGUACCCGUAAUGAUAAGGGAAGGAUGAGUAAUGUACUCUUAAUGGACCCAUAACAUAAAUAUGUUAGAGUGUUAUAAUUACGGGAACACUUUUGAUGGGAUCUACCUAUGUGAGUGGAAGUGUGGCCGCUUCUAGGAGCUUAAGGGCUUGGCUCUGACAGCACUCAUGAAAAGAGGACAUAGACACAUGGCUAUAAUAGUGUCCCUAGAUACUAUGCAUUGACUGAUGUUGAAAUCAUUGUGUGAGAUAUGUUCAGUUAAUCAAAUGGAAUAGUUGGUUCAAAGCUUAGUCUACCAUACAAUUUCGAUUAACUUUAACAUGUUUUCACUAAGUGAAGGUUCAAUCGUAAGACACCUUUAUUUAUGCAAAUUGAUUUCCAAGAAUAUCAAAAUCUAAAUAUUUUGAAAAUGGGGGGAGAUUGUUGGAAUAUUUUCAAAUAUUUAUAGUAUCCCAAUAACUAUAAAUGAAUGGGUGUAAUUAAUCAAAAGAUAAAACUUUUGGUCAUUGGUCAAAAGUUAUAUCAUUUGAUUUUUUAAAAAAGAAUUAUAACUAUUCAAAAAAUAUUAUUUGAAUAGUUACAAAAUUAAAUGAAUAAUUAUUAUUAUUUAUUUAUUCAUAAAGACACCUAUUGAAAGAUGUCUCUAUGAAGAGACAUGAAAAUUCCUAUAAAUAGGAAUAGGAUUUCAUUUGGAAAUCAUAUCAACAAAUUCUAAUAUUAUUUCUUCUCUUCCUUCAUUUUCUAAUAUUAUUAUAUUAUUCUAUAAAGUAUUGCUGCAGAAAUCCUUUGUAGAAAUUGAGUUUUUGUUAUACAUUACUCAGUGCAUAGUGGACUAUUCUCGUCAGUGCAAAACACAAAUAGUCAUUGGCUUCAUUGUAUCCUCGAGGUUAAUUCGCUUGGAACUCGUUUGCACACUGAAGAUAAGUGGGGGCGAAUAUAACCUUAAAGAUAGUGGCUUGAUACACGCCUUGGAGCCUGUCCUAUUUCUUCUUUUUCUUUUCGAGUUCCGAUCGUGUGUUCAAGUUUUUUUCUUACCGGAGUUUUGUACUAACAGGUUUGACGGUCAUCUUGAAGCAUAUAUAAAAUUAAAUGAUUGAAUUAUUGAAAUCAUGAAAUAAAAUAAUUAUGAAAUCAGAAUUUAAGGUUAGAGGUUAUUUUUAGAAAUUUAACUUUUUAAUUAAUUAAUUUAGCACAAAUUUUAUACAAGUCAUGAACUUAAUUUCAUCAAAUUAUAUUAUCCAACUUUUACUGUUAAUAAAUUAAGCGGUAAAAAAAAACACAUGUCUUGAUAUAAAAUAUCAAAAUUGAUUAUAUUGAAGGUGGUACAAAUAAUUGCAAGAAAUUGUAAUUAUUAGGUAGUGAUUAUAACCUCUCAUAAUAAAUUUUGAAAAUAAUUAAUGUUAAUUAUUCACGUAAUUCUUCUAAUUUUCAAUUAUUUCCUUAAAAAUUAAAAAGUAACAAAAAUAUAUAUAUAAAUUAUAAUGGUUAAGAAAAUAUGUCAUAAAUAUGUAAUUAUAAGUAAUUACAUCAAAAUUUAAUUACUACUGCUUUCUAAACACCCCUAAAAUUUAAAUAUAAUCAUUUCUUUGUUUAAAUAUGCUAAAGAUUUCUAUACUCUUUUAAAAUUUAAAUUUUAGUCUCCAUGCUUUAAUUUUGAGACAUUGAGUUCUUAUAGUUUUUUAUUUAAAAAUCUUGGUUUCUCCAUCUAAUUUUGCCAUUAAAAUUAAUGGUGUCAACGGUAAAAUAAAUUUUUAACCCUCAACAUAUAUUGUGCAGAUCAUAGACUAAAUUGCUUUAUUAGUUUUCUAUUGUUAAUCUUAUUAUUAUUAUUAUUAUUAUUAUUAUUGUUAACACCACUUCCAUUUUAACAACACCAAUUUCUAACAAUUGCAGAAGAAUGUCUAGUCAUUCCACACAAAUUAACAACAAUUUGCAGCAUCCACUACAUUCAUAUGAAUUCCACACAAAUUAAGACUGCAAAUUCUAACUUGUUUAUACCCUCAAUGAAGUUACCUACUGCAGAUUUUGUAUUGCUUGGAAUGAAUUGACUGUCAUUUUCUACUACUUGCCACAAAAUUUUGUAUUGCUUUAAAUUCAAACAGGAAGAAGAAAACAUGAAAAGAUGAUGAGAUGAGCAUGAAGAUUGCUAUAAAUUUGAUCCACCAAUUAAUAAGCUAACUAAAGGAAAUAAGGACAUUUGAUCCACCAAUUAAUGUUUGAAUUCACUAUAGUACUAUGCUUUUUACUGUCAAAAUCUUGGAUGCAGAGAUUAUUGGGACUAAAAAAUGAGAGUCAUGAAAGAAGACAUAAAUAGUUGAACCAUACAAAAUGUUACAUUUAAAACAAACCCUUACAAAUACUACGUAAUGCAAUGAAAUAUAGAUGAAUUGUUACAAUAACAAAGACAGAUGCAUGGCAAUGCAACCUUUCACCAUAGGAAAAAAAUUGGACAGACUUCAAAACAAGAAAUUAUGAAGAUACUGUUGCGGAAGCGACGAUAAUAUUAAUAACAAUAUUAUCAGAAAUAUUUAGAUAAUUAUUAUGCCAACAAUUAUACUAAGAAAAUUCCCAGUUAAAUUGGAGGGGUCACAAAUGGUCCCGCUUAAAACCCAACAACUAGACAGAACUCACUUAGAUAUUUAUAGCAAUAAUAACUAAAUAAAUAUAACCAACAUAAAGCUAUUAAAUAUAAGCAAACAAAUAAGAAAUAAAAUACCAGAGAUUUAACGAGGUUCGGCCAAUUUAGCUUACGUCCUCGGACACUACCAAAUCAAUAUUUCUACUAGAAAUAUUACAAAGGAGAAGAUUUUUUGGGAUGAUACAACCAAAGGGGGAGGGGUUCUAUAUAUAACAAACCAAACCCCCUCCCUUUCUAUCUUUUCCUAAUGUGGGAUAUUGCCAAUAUUCAACAAAUCUCCACCUUGGCGAUAUUCCACAUCUUCGAACAUCUUCUCAUAACACUAACUUCAAUAGUGUCUUCAAAUUUGCAACCAAUCGCCUUCUUCCCUUUUGGUAGUUGUGCCAGCUUCCACGUCUUGUUUUUCUCUAGAGAUUGCAUUUCCUCUUCCAUUGCACCUAACCAUCUAUUAUUCUCUAAACUCUGAAUGGCUUUGGUGUAAGUGGAUGGAAUAUUAUCAACAACUGGAAGUGCAUAAGCUACCAUGUCAGUGAAACGAGCAGGUUUCUGAAUUUCUCGUCUCUGCCUUCUGACUGCAAUUGGCUCUGAUUGCUGUUGAGGUUCUUGGGUAGAAACCUCUUCCUCAUCUGACUCUGCAUCUGCCAAUGAAGAAUCACUAGUGGUACCUUCUGCUGGAAUUACCACACUCUGCUCAAACUCCACCUGCUGCGGAGUACACUCCACCUGCUGCGAAGUACUACUCACUCCUUCUGGAUUUACCUUAUUCAACAUGGCAGAUUCAUGAAAGGUAACAUCCCUACUGAUUAUCGUCUUCUUUGCCUCUAGACACCACAAACGAUAUCCCUUAACACCAGCAUUGAAGCCCAUGAAUAGAGCCUUCUUUGCUCUUGGAUCUAACUUUGAUUCUUUCACAUGAUAAUAUGCAAUAGAACCAAAAAUGCGCAAGGUGUCAUAAUCAGUAGCAGGUUUUCCAUACCAUUUUUCCAAAGGAGUCUUGCCAUUUAUAGCAGAUGAUGGCAAAUGAUUGAUGAGAUGUUGAGCGUACGUCACAGCCUCAGUCCAAAACUUUCUAUCUAAUCCAGCAUUAGAUAACAUACAUCGAACUUUCUCCACAAGCGUUCGAUUCAUUCGCUCUGCCACCCCAUUCUGUUGCGGUGUUCCACCUACGGUGAAGUGCCUUACUAUGCCACAAUCUUGGCAUAUCUUCAGGAAAGGAUCGCUUUUAUAUUCUCCACCGUUGUCUGAUCGGAGAACCUUAAUCUUCCUUCCUGUCUGAUUUUCAACUUUAGUUUUCCACUUAAGGAAAACUUCAAGCACCUCAUCUUUGUUCUUCAUAGGAAACACCCAAACUCGUCUGGAAAAAUCAUCAAUAAAGGUGACAAAAUAACGUCUUCCUCCAAGUGAUGGAGUCUUGGACGGUCCCCAUACAUCAGAAUGCACAUAAUCCAGAAUACCUUUAGUAUUGUGAAUCCCAGUGCCAAAUUUCACCCUUCGUUGUUUUCCCAGAACACAAUGCUCGCAAAAUUCAAGUUUGCAAGUCUUUGUACUUUUCAAUAAUCCUUGCUUGGCUAGAGUUUGCAAGGAUUUUUCACCAGCAUGGCCCAAACGCAUAUGCCACAGCUGUGUUGCCUCAGCGUCCUUCUUGGUACUCGAAAUUGCUGCUGCUGUUGUCCCGACCACUGUACUACCUUGGUAGUAAUACAGAUUGUUCUUUCUUAUGCCAUUCAACAUCACCAAUGCUCCUGAAGUUGCUUUAAGAACUCCAUCUCGUAUUGUCACAACUAGGCCUUUAGAUUCUAACGACCCCAAAGAGAUGAGAUUCUUCUUCAACUUUGGGACAUAUCGUACAUCCCGCAAAAUUCUAGUAGAUCCAUCAUGACUCCUCAGUUUAAUUGAACCUAUCCCGGCUAUUUUACAUGUGUUAUCAUUACCCAUGUAAACAACCCCUUCAUCUAGUUUUUGAAAUUCAAAGAACCAUUCCCGAAUGGGACACAUAUGAUAGGAACAACCAGAAUCCAUGAUCCACUCAUCUGCAUAUAAUGUUGAAGAUGUCAUACUAAGAGAAAAGUUUGACUCUGCUUCACUAUUGCAUUUUGCAACAUUUGCAUCUUGCGGAGUCUUCCCUUUUUUCUUCAAUUUUGGACAAUCUUUCUUCCAAUGUCCUUUUUCUUUGCAAAAGGAACAUUCAUCUUUGGCAACAGCUCGACCUUUGGACUUUCUUCUCUUCCCAUUAGACUGACUUUGCUGACGACCUCUUGUUACCAAUGCUUCCACUGCUGCUUCACCUGAACCUUUCAACUUAUCCUUUCGGCGUAAUUCAUAGCUAUACAAUGCAGCAGUUACUUCAUUGAAAGUUACUUCCGAUUUUCCAUGAAGUAGAGUAGUUUCAAGGUACUCAAACUCCUCAGGAAGCGAUCCCAACAACAUUAACGCCAAGUCUUCGUCUUCAAAAGUCACAUCCAAAUUCAACAAAUCAGCCACCAGCUGAUUAAAAUUGGUAAUGUGCUCGUUCAUCGUGGUACCAGGAACAUAAUUGAAACGAAACAGUCUUUUCAUCAUAUGCAACUUAUUUUGACUGUUCUUCUUCAAGAAUUUCUCCUCCAAUGCUUUCCACAAUUUACUUGCAGAAGUCUCUUUACUGAAUGUAUACUUCUGCUCUCUGGAAAGACAUGAUCGAAUUGUACCACAUGCCAAUCGGUUGAUGGUCUUCCAUUCUUUAUCAUCAACCCCUUCUGGUUUUUCUUCCUCAAUGGCAAUAUCUAGACCCUGUUGAAAGAGGGCAUCUAGAAGCUCACUUUGCCACAUGCCAAAAUGACCUGUUCCAUCAAAAAUUUCCACUACAAAUCUCGUAUUUGCAGUUCCAAUCCUCGGCAAAAUGUACGAAGUGGAAGUUGUUGAUAUGGAUGGUUUUUCUUCUGUCAUUUUUGCCAUAGCUUCUACUUAAUAGCCACCAAAUGCAGAAUACCCACAAGCUUUAGGAAAUGUUUCUGAUGUGUAAGAUCAGACUAAGCUGCAAACACAGAGCAUACUACAAAACCUUGGCUCUGAUACCAAUUGUUGCGGAAGCGACAAUAAUAUUAAUAACAAUAUUAUCAGAAAUAUUUAGAUAAUUAUUAUGCCAACAAUUAUACUAAGAAAAUUCCCAGUUAAAUUGGAGGGGUCACAAAUGGUCCCGCUUAAAACCCAACAACUAGACAGAACUCACUUAGAUAUUUAUAGCAAUAAUAACUAAAUAAAUAUAACCAACAUAAAGCUAUUAAAUAUAAGCAAACAAAUAAGAAAUAAAAUACCAGAGAUUUAACGAGGUUCGGCCAAUUUAGCUUACGUCCUCGGACACUACCAAAUUAAUAUUUCUUCUAGAAUAUUACAAAGGAGAAGAUUUUGGGAUGAUACAACCAAAGGGGGAGGGGUUCUAUAUAUAAAUAUCUAAGUGAGUUUUGUCUAGUUGUUGGGUUUUAAGCGGGACCAUUUGUGACCCCUCUAAUUUAACUGGGAAUUUUCUUAGUAUAAUUGUUGGCAUAAUAAUUAUCUAAAUAUUUCUGAUAAUAUUGUUAUUAAUAUUAUCGUCGCUUCCGCAACAAUUGGUAUCAGAGCCAAGGUUUUGUAGUAUGCUCUGUGUUUGCAGCUUAGUCUGAUCUUACACAUCAGAAACAUUUCUUAAAGCUUGUGGGUAUUCUGCAUUUGGUGGCUAUUAAGUAGAAGCUAUGGCAAAAAUGACAGAAGAAAAACCAUCCAUAUCAACAACUUCCACUUCGUACAUUUUGCCGAGGAUUGGAACUGCAAAUACGAGAUUUGUAGUGGAAAUUUUUGAUAUGGAUGGUUUUUCUUCUGUCAUUUUUGCCAUAGCUUCUACUUAAUAGCCACCAAAUGCAGAAUACCCACAAGCUUUAGGAAAUGUUUCUGAUGUGUAAGAUCAGACUAAGCUGCAAACACAGAGCAUACUACAAAACCUUGGCUCUGAUACCAAUUGUUGCGGAAGCGACGAUAAUAUUAAUAACAAUAUUAUCAGAAAUAUUUAGAUAAUUAUUAUGCCAACAAUUAUACUAAGAAAAUUCCCAGUUAAAUUGGAGGGGUCACAAAUGGUCCCGCUUAAAACCCAACAACUAGACAGAACUCACUUAGAUAUUUAUAGCAAUAAUAACUAAAUAAAUAUAACCAACAUAAAGCUAUUAAAUAUAAGCAAACAAAUAAGAAAUAAAAUACCAGAGAUUUAACGAGGUUCGGCCAAUUUAGCUUACGUCCUCGGACACUACCAAAUCAAUAUUUCUACUAGAAAUAUUACAAAGGAGAAGAUUUUUUGGGAUGAUACAACCAAAGGGGGAGGGGUUCUAUAUAUAACAAACCAAACCCCCUCCCUUUCUAUCUUUUCCUAAUGUGGGAUAUUGCCAAUAUUCAACAGAUACAACGUACACACUUGAACAUCAUUUCCACUAACUAGAUCCUUCUUCGUCCAUUGCUGCGACUGCCAUCCUUUCACUUUCUUCUUCGCUUCUUCUCAUGUUGGAUUUCAACCAAAUUCACCAACCAUUUCGGCUUACCAAUUUGGAAAACAACAUAUCCCACGACCAUUCCAAACACUACUCCGCAUCCAUAACCUAUCAACACCAAUUUCCAACCAAAAGAGAUGUUUGAUUUUGAACCAUCAUGCAUCAUUUACUUUGCAAACAAUUUCACAAGUAACCAAUCAUCAUCUUUAUUCAGUCCUACGUAUCAGUUGUAGUAGUUCAACCACUUCUUAUCAUUAAAACAUGCCAUACAUACACUAAGGGUAUUAAAAACAUCAAUCAAACCUAGAAAUAGGCCCAGUUGCAAAAUUUCUAAAACUGUUACAUAGGUAUUGAUACUGUCCUAGGGCUAUCCAUAUUUUUUUUAAGUGGUAUUGAUAUCACAUGGAAAAUCAAUACUAAACUAGCAUUCUAUCUCUCACCAAAUAUCAAAACAUAAAAAAUUAUUGGUACCUUUCGCAAGGUAUCAAUAAACUUACCCGAAGUAUUGAUUCCUGGGCUGAAGUAUCGAUACCAAAUACAUAUUUUGUUUCCCUGUACCUUCGAAAAUGCAAAGAUACCCUUUUUAGAAAAUAAAAUAUCGAUACCUCCACUACAGGCUAUAAAAUCUUAGCAUACUCCAACAUUAAAACCAUUCAAACUUAAUCCCAAACAACAUGCUUCAUUCACAUAGUUAAAGAACAGUGUAAUCGAAUGUUAAAUAUGUUACUCUGCAAUGCCGUUGUAAAUAUGACUGUUAAAUUUGUUGAUAGCUAUACUGGUUUGGCACAAAAUUAAGAAUACACAGGCAGGUUGAACUAUUCCAUGUAUGAACCUUUGCAACAUAAAUGCAGAUGGCACAAAGACGCAAACCAUACCUUAUGUUCUUGAAUUCUCAUCAUCACAUGCUUAUAAAUGCAACUCAAGCUUACCUAAUUGAAUCUUUUGGUAAUUCAAAAUGUAUUUUUUUUUGUAGUGAGCAGUACAAGGACAUUAGAUCCACCAAUUUCUGUUUGAAUUCAUUACGUCAUUCAGCUCUGCUAUGUACUAUUAUUUCCAAAAAUCUUGAAAGGAGACAUCCUCCAAUUUAAAGACAAGAAAUGAGAAAGAAUGGCAGUGAAUAAAUAAGGAAAAACCAUGUAUAUUCAGAACCACAAUAAAACAAAUAUUUUAUAUGUAUUUUCUCAAUCGUAUUAGUGAAAUGCUAUAAAUUUUGUAACAAUUUUUUACUAAAUAUAAAAUAUUAAAAUUAAUACAUAUGGUGAUAUUGGAUAUACAGAGAAGACCCAAGCAUGAAGUUUGAGCGGGUCCUUGUACUCUGCAAUCUUGUGGUAAAUCCUUGAACUACAUUUAUGAAUACUAAAAUAUUAAUUACCUCACUAAUUGAUGAAUCCUGAAAGUGCUCUUACGUUUUCUUAUAAAAGAACAAAGAUUACCUUGAAUAUUUGAAUUCAUUACAUCAUUGAGCUCUGCCAUGUUUUAUUACUAUGACCAUAUAACUUCAUCCUUUAAGCUUGUACAGCUAAUUGUCGAUUCACUUCACAUGCUCUUUUAUCCUUUCAUGGUCGGUCCAACUUAAUCUACAAGCAAUGAGGAAAUUCGGGGACAAUUACAGCACAAUUCCGCACAAAAUAACAACAAUUUGUAGUAUUGAUUACGUUGACUUGAGAAAUAGAGAGGAAAAAAAAACAUGCUUGUCUGUACCGUCAAUGAAGCUACCAUAUGAAUGCAUUCCAUGAAGCAUAAGCAAACAUAUGUACGAGUACCCAAUUUAAGUUCAACUUUAAGAUAGAUUAAUUAGUUUAUAUGUAGCAAUUUUACAGCUGAAAAUUUUCUGAACAUUAGAAUUGUCCAACAUAUCUACAAUGCUAUUUGUACAUUUUUUUAUCAGUAACUACUGCUAAAAUAAUUUCCUGUAAGGCGAGAUUACGGUUAAUUUAAAUUAGCUUAAGUUCGAUUUCUCAACAUGAAAAAAACAUAACAAAAUCCCUCUUAUAACGUGCCCUUCGCACAUUGAAGUAUUGACUAUGCUUAGUGGAAUAAUGUAGAGAUACAACCCCCAAUUGCAUCUUCAUUAAAGCCUACUUAUAGGAAAAUAGGGACAUGGGAUCCACCAAUUGUACCUUAGCUGCUGCCCUUAUUUCACGUCAAUGCAAGACUAUUGUUGUCAGACAAACUUAAUCAACAAACCGUGAGAAAAUUUCCGGUCGACAUUUACACCACAAUAUACAAUAAUAAAAAUUUUGCUCAUAAUGUUUACGCAAUUUGAUCAUAAUUCCAAAAAUUUAUAUAUUCUUUUAAUUUGAUGUAAUUCUAAAAAUUAUAAUAAAAAUGAAGUUCGAGCUAAGAAAAGCUCUUCUAAUAAGGUUCAAGUGACAAGGGGGAGUGCCCACUACUUUGGACACUACCCAUCACGGGAGGGUGAAAAUAAGAUUCACAGUUACUAGAGAGAUUGAAUCCCUUGCAGGAUCCAAGAAAUAUAAAGGCAAGGUUCUUGUUGUAGUAAAAUCUAGCAAGAAAAGAAAGAUUUUGUUGGACGAUUCCUCGCUUCUGAGACAAGUUCGAAUUCAUCAUCCAAGAGCGCACCUCUUUGUGUCAUGCUACAGCCUUAAACAAAGCAUCCUAAUGUUCUUGUUCUGCUGCAAAAAAGAACAAAAGGAUGAAACAAGUUGGGGUGCCAAAAUUUUUUUCUGAUGCAACUACAUCAACAAGAAAGCAGGAAGAAAGAAUCCUGGACUAGAAAAAGAAACUUUUCCUGGAUCCGGACUGCUCCAAUUCCAUAUCUUGUCCUUUCAUAACAAUUCCAAUGGAAUAGAUAUAGAAGGCACUACCUCUAUGGCCAUACACCCCCAUGUACGACACUGUACUACCGAUCUUCUCUAGAUUUAUGAUAGCCUUGAAGCUGUUGAUGUAUCUCACUGGUAGGGGUCCAGAAAAAUAAUUACUUGAGAGGUCAAAAUUUUGGAUUUUAGAGAAAAAAAGGGAUAGACUUGGAGCUAUGGUCAUGCAAGGAACCAUGCAUUUGAUUUAACUUUAGUACAAGAACUUAUAGCUGUGGAAGUGAUACAUGAUGGGAUGAAAUUUAUUAAAUUUCAAUCACCAACGCUGUCAAUUUUCAAGCUUGAGAAAUCAGCAGACUUGCGACGACUUGUUGUGUGGUAUCCUGGAAUUUUUGGGUUGAGAUUUCAAUGAAGUUGGAAGAUCUGUCUCUUAGCUUCGAAACGUAUUUUGAAUCACUCAAUUUUGAGUUCGGGAGCUCAAGUUAUGACCAUUUUAGUGAAGGCUGCGCAAGCAGAAUUUUUGAACGGGAUUAUGACGGGAAUUACAAAUUUCGGGCUUUUAAUUCGAGUUUAAAUCAUAUUUGGUUCGGUUGUAGGUUUAAUUUUUAUUAUAUAUGAGACCAAUAUUGUAUUAAUCAGCUCUUAUUAUUCUAUUAUUAGUUUGUUCUAAAUUUUUUUAUAAUUAUUAAGUAUUUUAAGUUAUUUAGGAGUUUUAUGUUAACAAGAAAGUUUAAUUUAAAACUAUUUUUUGUUUAGAUUAAAUUAGAGUUCUAGUAUACUUAAAAAUUUUAUUUAGAUUUAUUUAGCUAGACUAUAUAUAGGCCUUUUCAUUGUACACAAUUCAUUAUUAUUCUAUUUCUCUUAGAGUUAAUAAAUUCUCUCUAGAUUUUUCUUUUCAAGAAUUUCUCUUAAGUUUCUUUUAGAAGAGUUUUAACAAUCUUUUUAGAUUGUGGAGAUCAUCUUCAAACUUUUUUUUACCAAGAUUUCUAUCCUGGAGGGGAAAUUAGAGUUGUUUGAAAUGGGUUAUAGAUUCUUUGUGUUUGCAAGGCUUCUUAAGACUACAUGUCACGUUCUAUCUUUUUAUUUAUCUUGGAAGAGAAAUUAGAACUGCUUGAAGGGGGUUUUGGAUUCUUCGUGUUUCUAAAGCUUCUUAGGACUUCUAUACGUCACAUUCUAUCUUUCUAUUUAUUUUCUUUAUUCAUUUCCUUAUUGUUCUAAUAUUUGAUUUAUUUUUUUAUUCUAGUUAUUUAUUUUAAUUGUUUUAUCUGAUUUCGAUUUGAUUUCGUUUUAGGUUGUGUCAAAAUCUAAAUUUCUUUCCAAACGUGUAGAGCCCUAAGUCAAAUCCACGACUUUGACAAACUUUACGAUCCUCUUCUGUGUUCAUCCGUCUCAUUUUUUAUCAGGAAGACUUCCCAGCCAAUGAGGAAAUGUACCAUUGAUCUUGUUGUUACCAAGAUCUAGCUUAGCACUUUCAGUCCUUUACAAUUAAGGAUGGUGUCAAAGGCCCUUCUAACAGAUUUCCAUUUAAGUUGAAAUUACUCAAUUGGAAUCCCUUUGCAAAUGUUAGAGGAAUCGUCCCAUAAAACUUGUUCUUCUUCAGAUUCAUGAAUUCAAGGAUGUUGCUCAAAUCUCCAAAACAUUGCGAAAUUGUUCCACUCAAAUUAUUGUGGGACAAAUCAAGAAUUCGAAGAGAACUGGCAUUGCAUAUUAAAGAAGAGACCUCUCCAUUGAAACUAUUAUUUCAGAUCAGAAAGACUCCGAUCGUCGAAGCUGGAAUCAAAAGAUUUCCACUGAUCAAAUUGGAGCUUAAGUCAAGAAAUGCAAUAUUCUUCCAUUGAGUAGAUUGUCAAUUAAGAUUAAAGAUAUUAGAUUAGGAAAAGCAGCUACUUCAUCUGGAAUUGAACUUUCUAAUGAAUUUCUAGCUAUUUCCAAGUAUUCAAGUUGCGUUAGGUUUAAAAUUGACAAUGAAAUUUGUCCACUCAAUUCGUUCGAUGACAAGUCUAAAAAAUUCAAGGACACAAGAUUCCCCAUCGAGUCAGGCAAUAUCCUCCGCAAAUAUUUGCUUCUGAAAUAAUCAAGAACUCUAACGAUGAUAAAUUUGUGAUUGAGACAGAGAAUCUUUGAAAGAGAAUUACCUGAUAGAUCUAAGUACUUUAAGGCCUGUAGAUUAUCAACUGAAUUAAUGAAUUCGGUGGAGAAGGACAUCCACGACAGACCCAAAUGUUCAAGAUUGCUGCUCCGAUUGAACUUCAAAAGAUCAAGAUUCAGGUUUUGGUUGCCUCCCAAGUUGAGGAAAUUUAGGUUUGGCAAAUCAAAAAUGUUUUUUUGGGAAUUUUCCUUGCAAAUCACAACCAGAAAGACUGAGAGACCUUAGAGAAGAGGAUAGAUUCGUGAAGACAUGAGGAUUAAUAGAAGACAUGUUGAUUUCAUCCAAAAACAGAUGUCUGACCUCGGUCAGGUUGUGAACAAGUCCCUCGACAGCAUGUUUGUCAAUUGUUUGUCCAUCAGCCUAAUAGGAGAGAUUAAGUGAAACCAAUUUUGAUAGGUGGGAGACUUGGGAUGGGAUUUGUCCUACAAAACUUGUAUGAGAAAGGUUGAGAUAUACUAGGCUUGUAAAAAAAUUUAAAAUUUAAUCGGUUAGCAUUAAAUAUGUCAUUUUCUAUUAACUGCAAGAAAACUAUCCGGUAAACUGCAUCUUCCUCUUUAGAUGAAAUUUUGUAAAAAAAAAAAAAAUUGACAUUAUCACUUAUAUGGUCCUUCAAUUUUUUUUUUAAAAAGUCAUUUUAACUCUCUAUUUAAUUUUUCGCGUCUUUGAGCUUUUAAAUUUGCGUUAUUUAUCAAAUCAUCCCAAAAUGGAUGAAAAAGUUAACAUUUGUUAAUUCUAUUGACGAGACAUACAUAUCGAUAUCAAAUAAACAAUUAAUUGAUUUUUAAAUUUUAAAAAUUUUAAAAAUAAAACAUAUAUUAAAGUUUUCUAAGAAAUGAGGAAAUUGGAACCAUGUACAGAAGAAUGUCCAAUAAUAUAAACACAACAUUUUAGUUAUUUUCUACUGUCCAAUAAUGCCAUGUGUAUUAGUACAAACAUUCAUUAAACCUAAUUUAAUUUUAGCCAUUAAUUUAAUUUUUCAUCUUUAUUAGCCCUUAAACCUACAUUAUUUAUCAAAUAACCCUUAAACUUAUAUUGUUUAUCAGAUGAAAAAAUUAAUAUCUAUUAACUUUGCUAACGUGCAUACAUAUGCAACUUCUUAUUUAAAUCUAAAAAAUCUAAAAAUAAUUAAAUAUGUAUAAAUCUAAAAAUAUCUUAAAAUUAAAACUAAUUUUUUUUAAACUAAUGCAAAUUUUUAGUAUUUAAAAAAUCUUAAAAUUUUCAAAUUAAAUUCCAUUAGUUUUCCACCGUUGAAGAACACCUUCAAUCACAUCAACAAUUUCAUGCUGUUUUGCCUAGAAAUUGUUUUGCAAAUUUAUUUUGUUUUAUUUAUUUCUAAACCCAUAUUUCUUUGCUAUAACUCCAAUUAUUAGAUUGUUUAGGGUUUUGAGUAACUUUCGGUUUUAAAAUUUUAGAUUUUUUAAAUUUAAAUACGAAGUGCUCUUCUUCUUCUCCAAACCCACAAUUUUUUUCUGCCAAAUUUCAACUCAAGGUUUUACUUUCAACUAUAAAUAAAACAUAUAUUAUAUUUAUAAUAAUCUAAGAAGUGAAAUAAUUAGAAUUGACUUGGUCUUGCUUCCUUUAUAUGUAUGAAUGUGGAAAUUGGCAUAAUGCCAACUUAUUUUCCACGCAGAAGAAGAAAAUGGUGCUCUAUUCACUCCCUUUCCUAGCAAACAAGGCCACAUAUGACUUAGAUAGAUAUAUAUAUAUAUAUAUAUGGUCCCUAAGUGUGUAUAUAUUAAUAUAUUUUCAAGUAAACAAACUUAUGCCUUAAAAGUUGAAUAAUAGCAUCUAAGAAACAAAUUUUCCACCAGACUGGAAAUUUUGUAUUGCUUGGAAUGAAUUGACUCUCAUUUUCUAUUACUUGCUAGAAAUAGGGGAAAUUUCACAUCAAUGCAUUCACUUCACUAGGUCUUGCUUCCUAUCACUGUCAACCAAACUUGAUCGACUAGCAGUAAGGAAAUUUCAGUCAUUUGCAGCAUAAGAAUUCCACACCCUCAAAAUAAUUUGCAAUUUCAAAAAUAGAUUAAUAAGUGUGGUUCAAAUACCAAGACUAUAAUAUCUAUUCACUUCACUUGGUCUUUAUUACUCACACAGAAUGUAUCAUCAUCAUCAUUAUAUUACUCUUUUAUUGUUAUUUUUAUUUUUUUCUUGUUACUUUUAUUUGUUAUUAUUAUUAUUUUUUUAUACUUUCAUGUUUUCUUUUUCAUAUAUUCCACCUUUUAUUUGUUUAUUUCAUUCUUUUACCUAAUUAAUAUUAGAUUUUAUUAGUUGGUGCCAUUACUUAUUUGUUGUUUUUGAUAUAUCAUCGCUUCGUUAAUAUGCACCAUCAUUUUAUUAUUGUUGCAAUUACGUCACGAGCCGUUUUAAAUGUAUUCAUGCUUUUCUAUUAUGCCCCGAAUAAAUUAAAUAUCUACCAUUUUAAAUAUUACAUUAACUUUUAUGCGAUACAUAAAAAAAGAAUUUUUUUUUACCAAGGCAAAUGUUUGUUAUUUCAAAUUUAGAAAAAUCAUGUUCUAACUUACGGAAUAUGGUUGCCUUCUAAAAUUGAGAUAAUUGAAUAUAUUUUAAAAUAAACAAAAAUUUGUUUUUUUUUUUUUUACAUUUGUUCUCAUUUUCGGGAUUUAAGGCAUGGUGUCCUAACUUACGGAACGUGAUCCUUUUUCCCGAUUAAUUUAAAAUAAAUCUAUUUUUGUGAAAACAAAAUUUAAGUAAUAUUGAAACGAAGGACCGUAUUUUAAAAUCUCUUCAAAUUCUCAAUUUUUGACACUAAGACAUUAAUUAAUUAAUCAAUUAGGUACUAAUUUUGGGCGUUACGAGGGUGCUAAUAUUUCCUCGUACGUAACCGACUCUCGAACUUAUUUCCUGGAUUUUUGUAGACCAAAAAUUGUUGUUUUAGUAAAUCAAAUCUUUUAUUAAAACGAUUAAAUUACAAGGUGAUCCGAUCACACUAAUAAAAAGGAUUGGUGACGACUCCCAUUUUCGUUUUCAAAAUAAAAGUCGACCCUUUUCAAAAAUAGUUUCGACAAUGUGUAACAAGUAUUUUUAUUAAUCCAUUUGGAACAAGAUUUUGUUUCCUAAUGUUAAGAUUUGCUGGAGCAAAUAAAUUGAUUAAUGCUUUGAACUUUCCCAAACACUUUUUAUCAUUUUGUAUAAUUAGUAUAUUUGAAUAUAUUAGAUACAUCGUCUAAAACAAUGUCAAUAGUAAUUUUUUUAUAUUUUGUGGACCACAAGGGUACCAUAUAAAUAAUUUUAAAAAAAAGAUGGAGUGAUACAUUUACGUAGUGCUUAUGAAUAUAAUGUUGGAUUAAAAUCCUUAAUUAUGAGUACAUAUGUAUAAUGUUUGAUAUUACAAUUAUCUUAAUAAUUUUGUUUCUGUUUUUGUUGAUUGAUGAUUAUAAAAAUCAUUAUUUUUCUGAAGGCAUGCUUUGUUGUCAAUGACAGUACCUGCACCCUAAAAUAAUCACCAGCUUUAACAACUGCAAGAGUUGUCCUGCCUGACAUUUACUAAAAAAUCACCAGGGAGCACAUUGUCAGGAGAUCCUUGCUGGAAAAAACUUGGUAGGAUGGUUUUUUUGUGCAAACUUAGGAUUUCAAUUCUCAUCAAGGAACUUGCAAGCCAAUUAUUGUAGAAAUGUUUGUCCAAAUGAUAAACAUUUGGAAUCCUAACCACAGGGACUUUUGCAAGCCUAUUAAUUAGCUCCAGGAACUUUAGAUUCUACCUGUUCAAAACAUUUUUUCAAAGAAGGAAGCAUAGGUGAAAGGCGUCUAUUCUGGUUCAUCUCAUUGAAUACAUCAAAUGGAGGAUCAAUACGCUGAAAAAGGGACAAUGGAAAGAACUUUAGCCUACAACUUGAAUUUUAUAACUACUCCUAUGCCAACCAGCAAACCAUAACAGCAUACAUAAAAAAGAGGAUGCUGACUUACAGUUCCUUUCAUUUCACCAAAACCAAUCAAAUCCCUUGCAAUGUUGUUUGGAUCACAACAGCUCAUCUUUCAAUCCUAGAUGGCUCCGCCAAUUUUUUGAAAGCAUACAUGAACUGUUCAAGAAAUAAAUGGAUAAAACAACUACAGGAUAGAAGGCUAAAAAAUUACAAAGAGCAAUGACCUUAUUGUUAAAAUUCCAACGUCCAUUCCUUGGAAAGAUAUCUUCACCAUUGCCCACUCAAGAGAACUCAAAUAGCAGCAAGAUCUCGUAUAAAAUGUAACUCUCAACAACACACACAAAUGUUUGUUCUAUCAAGGAACAAUACACAGACAUAUUCACCUACCCUUGGUGCUGGCAGAAUAUGCCCAUUCACUUUGGUGAAAUUAGAGUUGAUAAUAACCCCACAAGAUUUCUGCACCAUAAUUACUGCGAAGUAAACCUGCACAUAAAUUUUCAUUCUUCACUAGAUACAUAUUGGAAAUUGGCCAACCAUGCUGCUGUUACAUUUUGUGGUUGAAGUGCAUGCAGCUUGAUGACAUGCUGGAGCACAUAUGGUUGCUGUAACAGCAAGGUUUCUCUUUAGUUUCUUUGUUGAUUAAACUAGUUGAAAAUGAACAAGUUGAUGACAACUUGAUGCAUUAGGUGUUGAAUGACUAGUUUAGGUGGCUUGUUUAUGUGUACAAGCAAUGUUUUAAUAGUCCCAAUGCUGAUUAGUGGGGUUAGUUGACUAUUUGAUGAUGUAUUUGACUAUAAAUGUAUGUUUUUUCUAGUUGAAUGAAUGAGCUGAAUAGGCUAUCAGCCAUAAGCUCCCUUGCUGCACAUUUGUGAGCAAGUAAAAAUACUUCUUGCACCUUGCUUCAUUGUUAUGCUCUCUGUUCUCUUCUUUUGCUGCUGCCAAAUGUUCCAACAAUACAGAAUCUAUUUUUGUAAGUAAAAAUUAGUUGUAUUCAUUGUUCACAUAAUUGAUCUUUUGUUGUGGAAGUAUUGUAUUUCCGGUAAUCCAUUAAGUAUUCAGUGUUUGAUAUAAUAGAUUUGCAUUUUAUUAUUGUAUUUUGUGAAAGGAUCCUUUAUCUAUUUUUUGUAACCUAUUUUGUUUUUUGCAUUUCUGAUUAGUUUACAUGAUGGCAUACUCAAUGAUCUCUUAAGUUAGUUAUGUUAGGCUCUUUAACCAUUGUUGUAGCUCACCGUACGUACUCCAUGCCCCCUUAUCCAUAUCUAGCUACUGACUAGUACACAACUAUCAUUGUUCUCACAUCACAUGUGGAUUGGUGGAUUUCUGAUAAUGGGUGUUGUUGCGCAUGCAGCCAUUUUUAUGGUAAGAGACAAUGAUUCAACUACUCUAUACAAUGAUUUAUUAGAUCGUGAUGUAAUCAUAUCACAUCUCAAUUGGGCAUUUAUAUUUCUUGACUUUGUAUAUUCAUAAUGAUACCAUGAUAGCCUUUUCCCCUCUUUUUUUUUGUUUUUUUUUUUUAUCUCUAGUCUCAAUUUUGGGCGUGACACAAUGAAAUUAGAAACUAAAUCUAUUUUUGUAAGUAAAAAUUAGUUUUAUUCAUUCUUCACAUAAUUGAUCCGGUAAUCCAUUCAGUGUUUGGUACAAUAGAUUUGCAUUAUAUAUAGGUUUGCCAAUGAGAUGGCAAGCAGACUGCUAGCUAGAAAUUCUUGCAUCUUUGAAUCACCAAUUCAAUUAAUAAGCUUAACUAAAGGAAAUAAGGACUUUACAUCCACCAAUUUUAGCAACCUAUAUGUACCCUUUUACAGUCUGCAUUGUUCCAUGUUUCAAUUCAUUCCAUCAUUCCUUCAACUCUGCUAUAUAUUAUUACCAUCUCCAGACAACCAAUCCUUUUACUGCUAACUUGUAAAGAAAUUAAGAAAAUACAGCAGAGAUCAUUGACACAUUUUGUUCUCCUUUCUCCUUUACUGAGCAGUAGCAAAGAUUGUCGAGACUAAAUUGAAAGUCAUGAAAGAAGACAUAAACAACACCACCAUACAAAAUGUUACACUCAAACAAACCGUUACAGAUAGUACGAAAUGCAAUGAAAGAGGAAUUGGUACAAUAAUAAAGACAGACACAUACCAAUGCAACCCUUCACCAUAGGCAAAACGGUCUACAGAACAAUAAAUUAUGAAAAUACAACACUAAUUCUUCAACAUCCUUUGCAGUAAUUAGAUCCUUUUUCGUCUAUAGCUUCAAUUGCCUUUCUUUGACUUUCUUCUUCGCCUCCUCUCUUGUUGGUUUUCAACCAAACUCACCAACCAUUUCGGCUUACCAGUUUGGAAAACAACAUAUCCCACGGACAUUCCGAACACCACUCCGCAUCCAUAACCUAUCAACACCACUUUCCAACCAAAAGCAAUGUUUGAUGUUGAGCCAUCUUUUUCAAGCACAUUUGGAGGUGCUGGCUCAAUGAUGUUGCAACCUUUCGAGACCGGAAACCCACAUAGUCCCUUAUUCCCUUCAUAUGAAUCAAUUCCAAAUGUGUUGAAUUGUUUUCCUUGAGGAAUCUGACCAUGGAGUUGAUUUUCAGAAACAUUGAAGGACGAAAGAAAUGGCAGAUCUGCCAAUCUAUUUGGAAUCGUCCCAGACAACCUGUUUGAAGAUAGGUCCAACCAUUCAAGACUUGUCAAAUUCCCUAUUGAGGUGGGGAUACCACCAUUAAGGUUAUUAUGGGAAAGGUUGAGCCCCUUUAGUAAGUUAAGCUUCCCAAUAACUUUUGGAAUCUCUCCUUCAAACUGAUUGUUUGAUAGAUCUAUGAUCAUCCACAUGGUGAAAAUUUUCACCAAUUCCCUAUCUUGUCCUUUCAUAACAAUUUCAAUGGAAUAGGUAUAAAAGUCACUACCUGUCGAAUCAUACACCCCCAUGUACGACAAUUUACUCCCAAUCUUCUCUAGAUUUAUGAUACCCUUGAAGCUGUUGAUGUAUCUCUCUGGUAGGGGUCCAGAAAAAUAAUUACUUGAGAGAUCAAAGAUUUGGAUUUUAGAGAAAAAAGGGCUAGACUUGGAGCUAUUGACACAUAAGGAACCAUGCAAAUGAUUUGACUUCAAUACAAGAACUUGCAAAUAUGGAAGACUUCCCAACCAAUGAGGAAAUGUAUCAUUGAUCUUGUUGUUACCAAGAUCUAGCACUUCCAGACCAUUACAAUUAAGGAUGGAUGGUGUCAAAGGCCCUUCUAACAGAUUUCCAUUUAAGUUGAAAUUACUCAAUUGGCAUCCCUCUGCAAAUGUUGGAGGAAUCGUCCCAUAGAACUUGUUCUUCUUCAGAUUCAAGAAUUUAAGGCUGUUGCUCAGAUUUCCAAAACAUUGCGGAAUUGUUCCACUCAAGUAAUUGUGGGACAAAUCAAGAAUUUGAAGAGCACUGGCAUUGCAUAUUAAAGAAGAGACCUCUCCAUUGAAACUAUUAUUUGAGAUCAGAAAGACAUUGAUCGUCGAUGCUGGAAUCGGAAGAUUUCCACUGAUCAAAUUGGAGCUUAAGUCAAGAAAUUCAAUAUUCUUCCAUGGAAAGUGCUCAACUUCUGUCAAAGAGUUGUGAGAUACGUUUAAGUAAGUCAAAGAGUCAUUCCCCACCUCUUGCAUCCACUGUGGAAUCUUGCCUUCAAUUUUGUUGCAAGAGAGGUCUAAGCUUUCCAAACUUUUAAGCCCUUUCAAAAAUUGGGGGAAUUCACUAAAAUUGCAAGAUGACAAAUGUAAGUCUGUAAGAUUAGGCAAUAUAUGAUUAACACUAGAAGUAGAAUUAGAUGUUAAGGAUAUGCGGAUAUAUGAAAGGUCAAGAUAUUCGAGAUUUGGAAGGCUUGAGAACAUGCGAAACUCUAUAACACCACUAAGAUUAUUUGAGGAUAAAACGAGGUGGGUAAGAUUGAGAACUUGGAAUAUUGAAGAUGGAAAAGGACCUUGGAGUUUAUUAUUGUUUAGAUAUAAAUGUUCUAGUGAUUUGGAUUGGAAUUCUUUGAUAUGCCCACUGAAUUGAUUUUGAGAGAGAAUUAUAACCUUUAAGGAGGGAGCAGUAUACAACCAUGACGGAAGUGUUCCAUUGAGUAAAUUGUCAGAUAAGCCUAAAUAUAUUAGAUUAGGAAAAGUGGUUACCUCAUCUGGAAUGGAUCCUUCUAAAGAAUUUUCAGAUAUUCCCAAGUAUUCCAGCUGGGUUAGGUUUAGAAUUGACAAUGGAAUUUGUCCACUCAAUUGGUUCCACGCCAACUCUAAAUAAGUGAGUUGCAAGAGGUUUCCCAGUGAUCUUGGAACCGUUCCUGAUAAGUUGGAAUUGGAGAGAUCUAAAAACUUCAAGGACACAAGAUUCCCCAUCGAAUCGGGCAAUCCUCCAAAAAUAUUUGCGCCUCUAAUAAUCAAGUACUCCAAAGAUGAUAAAUUUGUGAUUGAGACAGACAAUCCUUGAAAGAAAGAAUUUCCUGAUAGAUCUAAGUACUUUAAGGCCUGUAGAUUAUCAACUGAAUCAAUUAAUUCUGUAGAGAAGGACAUGGACGACAGAUCCAAAUGUUCAAGAUUGCUGCUCCGAUUGAACUUCAAGGGAUUAAGAUUGAGGUUUUGAUUGCCUCCCAAGUUGAGGAGAUUGAGGUUUGGGAAAUAAAAAAUGUUAUUUGGGAAUUUUCCUGGCAAAUCACAACCAGCAAGACUGAGAGACCUUAGAGAAGAGGAUAGAUUCAUGAAGACAUGAGCAUUAACAGAAGACAUGUCCAUUCCAUCCAAAAACAGAUGUCUGACCUCGGUUAGGUUGUGAACAAGUCCCUCCAGAGCAUGUUUGUCAAUUGUAAAUUGCUCAUACUUAUCAGUCCAAGAGGAGAGAUCGAGUGAAACCAAUUUUGGCAGGUGGGAGACUUGGGAUGGGACUUCUCCUACAAACCCUGUACGAGAAAGGUUGAGGUAGAAUAGGCUUGUAAACCGACCGAACUCGGAUGGCAUUUUGGAAAGAUUAAAAUGAUUGUAGGCAAGGUUGAGUUUUUGAAGGUGAGGAAGAAGGAAGAGAGUGGUAUUGGAAGGGAAGUUGCCAUAUAGCCAACUGCAACUCAAGUCAAGGGCAAUAACAUGAGCAUUUAGGUGGUCGCAAGUGACCCCAUCCCAUGAGCAGCAAUCUGUACCCUCCUUCCAUGAAUUUGUCUUGGGAUAAGAUUUAAGGCCAGUAAUAUAAUCGCAAGACAAAGAAGCAACCUUUUUUAUGGAAAAAGAGUCCUUAAACUGGAUUAGUGAAGAGCAGGAGUGAGAUUCUGAAGAAGAAAAAGAAGCAUAAAGAUGGGGAAAGAAGAGGAAUAGGCAGAGAAAGAGAUAGGGGGCCAUGUUAUGUUUGUAGAGGAAGAAGGAUAGGAAUGGUAUUUAUAGGCAACAAAUAAUACCACAACAUUGGUGUCUUUUACAUUGAAAAGCUAUGGAUAUUAGAUUUUCAAAGUUUUUGUAUUUUUCACAAUCAUCAGCAACCACUUGGUCUUGUUUUUACCAUACAUUUUUCGAUUUUUUUAUAGCAAAAUGUUGUAUAUCAUUUGAACUCCCUAAACAACUAAAAAAAUUAAGAUUGAGGAAGAAGACUGCUGGAAAUUUAAUCCAUCGAUUCUAUAAAAACGUGUAUACCUAUACAUAUAAUAAUCUCAUAAUUCAAAUCUAAAAUCUCAUUUGUUAUAAAUUAUGAUAAACUUAUUUGGGAAUAGCUAUUUUUCAUUAAUUAAAUUAUUUCUCUUUUAAUCAAGUAAAAAAUUAAAACUAAAAAGACAUUUAAAUAAUUUAAAUAUCAUUUAAAUUUACAAUCUGUGAUUUUAUAAUAGAAUAUGCAUUAAGGAUUUGCACACACACAGACAUGUUGUGAAGAUUGAGUGAAAUACUAGCUGUCCAAUUAAAUAUAAAAAAUGUCUUUGUUUUUCUGUUGGUAAUGAACAGGAGCCAAAUGUUGAAGUGGCUGGAACUUGUCUUGUAUUGCUUGCCUGCAGAUUUUGGUAUGUUUGAAAUGUAUGGAGAUGUGCCAAGUGGAACUAUUUUGGGGCUUAUCACUACCUCUGUGUCACACAACAGAACACAAAAUAAAAUAAUCAAAUCAGAUCUUUGAAUAUUGAAAUACCAAAAGUUAAAAGAGUACAUGCACUACAACCAAAAGUUUCGAUAUAUGAGGGUAGUGGGACAUGUAUGCUUGUGACCAAUUGGCUAGAAUUACAGGUCUGAAAUGUGGAGAACGUGUGGAUGUAAUUUUGCCCAUUUAUUACAAAUUGAUAAAACUGCAAUAUAAGUGCUUACUAUUUUAACUUUGUUACAAAUUAGUCCUUUUUUCUAAAAUUUAGGGAUUUAUAUAACUCAUUUUCAGAAAUUGACUCAAUUCUUUAAUAGUCAUUGUCGAAAACAUUAUAGAAUACCAAGCUUACGAAUUUGAAAGCAUUAUUGAAAACAAUUAUUAUUUUCAUAAAAUCAUUCAUCAAAUUUUUGUUUUCAAAUUUCAUACAUGAAAUUAACAAAUAAAGAUAGCUCUAAAUAGCAAAACCCAAUAUGUUUUAUCCAAAUUGAUAAAGAUGUUGAUGCAACAUUUUAGAUUGCGAAUUCCUUCAUCACAUUUGGAAUCCUAACCACAGGGACUUGCAAGCCUAUUACGAGUGCUAUGAUAAUCAAAUAAAAUUCAAUUCAAUUUUAAGUUCCAUAUAUAUAACACUUACAUGGCUACAAAAUGUGUGUGUGUGUGUAAGUGUCCUCAACCACAAACAAUCCAAAUUUGCACAGAAACCACCCAUUACAUAUAGGUUUGCCAAUGAGAUGGCAAGCAGACUGCUAGCUAGAAAUUCAUGCAUCUUUGAAUCACCAAUUCAAUUAAUAAGCUUAACUAAAGGAAAUAAGGACUUUACAUCCACCAAUUAAAGCAACCUAUAUGUACCCUUUUACAGUCUGCAUUGUUCCAUGUUUCAAUUCAUUACAUCAUUCCUUCAACUCUGCUAUAUAUUAUUACUUUCUCCAUAUAACCAAACCUUUUACUGCUAACUUGUAAAAAAAAUUAUGAAAAUACAACACAGAUCAUUGACACAUUUUGUUCUCCUUUCUCCUUUACUGAGCAGUAGCAAAGAUUAUCGAGACUAGAUUGAAAGUCAUGAAAGAAGACAUAAACAACAACACCAUACAAAAUGUUACACUCAAACAAACUAUUACAGAUAGUACGAAAUGCAAUGAAAGACAGAGGAAUUGGUACAAUAAUAAAGACAGACACGUAACAAUGCGACCCUUCACCAUAGGCAAAACGGUCUACAGAACAAGAAAUUAUGAAAAUACAACACUAAAUCUUGAACAUCGUUUGCAGUAAUUAGAUCCUUCUUCGUCUAUUGCUUCGAUUGCCUUUCUUUGCUUUUCUUCUUCGCCUCUUCUCUUGUUGGUUUUCAACCAAAUUCACCAACCAUUUCGGCUUACCAGUUUGGAAAACAACAUAUCCCACGGACAUUCCGAACACCACUCCGCAUCCAUAACCUAUCAACACCACUUUCCAACCAAAAGCAAUGUUUGAUUUUGAGCCAUCUUUUUCAAGCACAUUUGGAGGUGCUGGCUCAAUGAUGUUGCAACCUUUCGAGACCGGAAACCCACAUAGUCCCUUAUUCCCUUCAUAUGAAUCAUUUCCAAAUGUGUUGAAUUGUUUUCCUUGAGGAAUCUGACCAUGGAGUUGAUUUUCAGAAACAUUUAAGGACGAAAGAAAUGGCAGAUCUGCCAAUCUAUUUGGAAUCGUCCCAGACAACCUGUUUGAAGACAGGUCCAACCAUUCAAGAGUUGUCAAAUUCCCUAUUGAGGUGGGGAUACCACCAUUAAGGUUAUUAUGAGAAAGGUUGAGCCCUUUCAGUAAGUUAAGCUUCCCAAUAACCUUUGGAAUACCCCCUUCAAACUGAUUGUUUGAUAGAUCAAUGAUCAUCCACAUGGUAAAAAUUUUCACCAAUUCCAUAUAUUGUCCUUUCAUAACAAUUCCAAUGGAAUAGGUAUAGAAGCCACUACCUGUCGGAUCAUACACCCCCAUGUACGACAUUUUACUCCCAGCCUUCUCUAGAUUUAUGAUAGCCUUGAAGCUGUUGAUGUAUCUCACUGGUAGGGGUCCAGAAAAAUAAUUACUUGAGAGAUCAAAAAUUUGGAUUUUAGAGAAAAAAGGGCUAGACUUGGAGCUAUUGACACAUAAGGAACCAUGCAUAUGAUUUGACUUCAAUACAAGAACUUGUAGCUGUGGAAGACUUCCCAACCAAUGAGGAAAUGUAUCAUUGAUCUUGUUG
This 73337-nucleotide long non-coding RNA is filed under the name Gossypium barbadense (sea-island cotton). RNAcentral describes it as "long non-coding RNA (GBAR_LNC016776)". The stretch from base 20548 to 20692 matches the Rfam family "MIR7502 microRNA precursor family". The record is from RNAcentral. Lineage: Eukaryota; Viridiplantae; Streptophyta; Magnoliopsida; Malvales; Malvaceae.